This 88726-nucleotide long non-coding RNA is filed under the name Fragaria vesca (wild strawberry). RNAcentral's name for it is "long non-coding RNA (FVES_LNC000344)". Lineage: Eukaryota; Viridiplantae; Streptophyta; Magnoliopsida; Rosales; Rosaceae. The record is from RNAcentral.
UUUACUAGCCCUAGUAAAUUUUUACUGAGGGUAGUAAACUUGCAAAACAGUAGCUCCAAUGCCAUAAUUCAUAUUUAAAAGGUGAAAAAUCAACUUAGAUGCGAAAAAUGAAAUUUACUACCCCUAGUAAACUUUUACUAGUAAACUUUUACUGGGGGUUACUACCUUGCAAAACAGUAGCUCCAAUGUCAUUAUAUACAUUAAAACAAUGAAAAAUCAACUUAAAUGUGAAAAAAUAAAGUUUACUACCCCUAGUAAACUUGCAAUACAAUAUUUUUCUAGUCAGUAUAUACAUUAAAACACAAAAAAAAAGCAACUUAGAUGCGGACAAAUAAAGUUUACUACCCCUAUAAAACUUCUACUAGGGGUAGUAAAUCUGCGAUACAAUAUUUCCCAGGUCAGUAUACACUUUAAAGCAACAAAAACCCAACUUAUAUGCGAAAAAUUAAAGUUUACUACCCCUAGUAAACUUCUACUGGGGGUAGUAAACAUGCAAUACAAUAUCUCCAUAAAUUCACAUUUCUAAAGUAAACUCCAUACCACAAAAUAGAAAUUACAAACAUCAUAACCAAAUUAAAGACAACUCCAAACCUCGGCGUCAAUUGCCGCGAGGAGUCCCGUAUCGAUCUUCAACCGCGUCGUUGUUCAUCUCUCCUCUGAACUUCAGCCAAACGAGAUGCUCUGAAUUGAAGCCGAGGAAGGGGAAGCAUUGAUCGGAGGCGGCCGUACUAAGUGACGGAGAUCGGCAAGCUCGGUUCGCAUCGCCUAGAGGUGGCUUGGAGAUCGGAGCUCAGGUUUCGGCUCGCAUCGAAGACUGCUGCUACCUUCUCACAGAUCUGGUUACUUCGAGGUCGAGGUAGAGGAAGCCAACUGGUGAAAUCAACCGGGUUGAUGGCGGCGGUGACGACAGAUGAGAGCAGAGGGAAGCGUCAAUUUGGAAGAGGAGGAGCCGAGACCUUUGGUCAGUGAUGGACGUCAUCUGUGACGUUGUUGACGCGAUCGAGAGAAGAGAGAGCCCGAUAAGAGAUGAGAAUGAGAGGUGGGAGAAGCAGAAGACAAUGUAGGGUUUUUAUUAGAUUAGGGUAUAUUUGUCAUUUUAUCUUGAAUAAUUAGAAUGGGCAAUUAAAUCUUAUUUUCAUUGGACCGGGCCAAAACUUCCUAAAAUUAGUAAUAAAUAGGCAUUUGCUCAAAAAAAAAACACACAUGUUGAAAACAUCAAAACACCAAAAAAUAGAAACGUUCAUGUGUCUAAUGGUAAAUUGAUUCGCUAAACAAUAAAUUUAACAAAUAAGAAUAAGGCAUUACAACAAUAUCAUUAAGAUUAUAAAAGAACCGGUAAAAUAAAAACAUUUAGACCCUGAACCGGUAAAAUAAAAACAUGUUGUAAGGAGACAUCACUGUCCGCAACAACUUUGACGGUCUGAAGGGAUUUUCUUGCUAAAAACGAAAAAUCAAAAAGUCCGUGAAAAGGCCUUAGAAAAACAAGGAUCCGCAGGUUGAGAUAUAAAGUGGUGAGACUUGAGAGACUCUCCUUGUGAUUUCUUUCAUUUUCCUCCCUCCUUUUUCUUGCGUGUCAAGUCCCCCAUUCACCUAAAUCACUCUCCUCUCCCUAAUCAAACCCUAACAAAUCCCCCAGAAUCCCAAAUCCUCCAAAUUCCAAAAUCCCAACCCAUUCCGCAUUAGAACUCGCAUACCUCACGAUGAAGCAAACACACACAGUUUGAAUCGCUUUCGGAUUCCGUUUUCUAAUUUUGAUCGCGAGGGAGAUGUGAUUCGAUUCUAGGGUUUUCGCGAAGGAGAUGGUCAGAGAUGAGUCGCGGAGGAGAGGGAGAAGCUUUGGCGGACGCGCAGGCGGUGGUGGCGGUGAAGAAGAAGUCGUCUCGGAGCUGGGUGUUGCUGGACGCGACGGGACAGGCGACGGUGCUCGAUGUCGACAAGUAUGCUAUCAUGCAUAGGGUUCACAUUCACGCCAGGGACCUUCGCAUUGUCGAUCCUCUGCUCUCUUAUCCUUCCGCCAUUCUCGGCCGUGACAGGGCCAUUGUUCUCAAUCUGGAGGUAUAAAUUUGUUAGGUUUUCGGUUUCGAAGAUUUUAUAGUGAUGUGUUUUGAAUGUUUGGCUGAUCUUUGUGUUUGUUUGUUUGAUUUUGCAGCAUAUUAAAGCUAUAAUUACUGCUGAGGAGGUCAGCCCUUUUUUUUUCUCUCGGAAUUUAACAUCUUUUUUACUGUUUUCGGCUGAAUUUGAUGUGUUGAUUUGGGAGGAAGUACUGGUGUAGCUUGUGCAGUUAAUCUACUAUUAUUUGGGGAAAUUAGUGAGGCGAAAAAGCUGCUUAGAUUGUCUGAAGAGGAAUAGAAAGUGUGUGUUUACUGUAAAGUUCAAUGCAUGUUUUAUACUGUAUGUGUUGUGGGGAGAAUAUGUUAUGUGGUGUGCUUUAGAGUUUCGGUGAGUUAAGGCGCUUUUGCAGAUGAUGGAUUUUUUUUAUUUUUUAUGUGUGUGUGUGGAUAUAGGUGCUGCUGCGGGAUCCGUUGGAUGAAAAUGUUAUACCUGUUGUGGAAGAGCUUCAAAGACGGUUGCCGCCUGGGAAUUACAUUCGUGAAAAUCAAACGGAUGGGAAAGAGUUCCCUGCUGGGCAAAAUGAUGUUGAUGCAGGCGAAGAAGAUGGUAUGAUGUUGUAAUUUUAAGUUUAUCACUUCAGGAGCAGUGUCUGGCUUUAGUGCCUGUAGUUAUAUGCAUAUCCUUUUUGCACCUGUCGCUUCGGUCUGAAUUCUUUUUGGAGUUUACGUCCCACUGAUCUAAAUUAUCUGAUGUAGAGUCUCCAUUUGAAUUCCGGGCCUUGGAGGUAGCAUUGGAAGCAAUUUGUAGUUUUCUUGCUGCACGUACGACAGAACUGGAGACUGCUGCUUAUCCGGCUCUAGAUGAGCUUACCUCUAAGGUAGGGCAUAACUUGUUUCUCUGUUUCUUUUCUACUUUGUGCAUGUAUGUAUCCGUUUGGGGCUAAACGGGCAUAAAAAAUGGGAAACAAACAAAAGAGUGCAAGGAACAAAAUUACAGUAUCUCCUACACUUGUAGGUUACUUCAGGAUAUCAAACUGAUUGUAGCUCAUAGAUAGAUUUAGGCCCUCAGUUGUCAGAUAUGGUUUAUCAGCAACUUUACUGAAAACACAAGAUGGCGAGUUCCAGGGACUGUUAUAUCUGCAGUUUGUGUUAAUUGUUCUUUAAAAAAGAAAAAGAAAAAAAUAAAAGAAAAGAAAUCCAAAUAUCAUGCUUGAGUUUUUGUUGAAUUUUGGUAUCCUCUUGCUUUGCAUUCUUAUGGCGGAGCUGGUUUCGCUUCAGGGGAUUUCUGGCUACCAUACUUGCCUCAAUAGUUUUGAGAACUUACUAUUGUACUGAGAGUAUGUUUAUCUCACAUGAUCUUCUAUAAGAAAAAAGUAGUUGCUCAGUUUUUUUCUCCUUCUGAGUUGACAAAAUUAUAUACAUUUGUUCAUUUUGGUUACCUAUUUUUGCUAUUUGAAUUUGUUCUAUGAAAUUUGCUUCUUCCGCAGAUUUGUAAUCCAUUUCAAUCUGCAGAUUAGUAGCCGCAAUUUGGAUAGGGUUCGUAAACUGAAAAGUGCAAUGACGAGGUUGACUGCACGGGUACAAAAGGUAUGCAUCUUCCUCUUGUCUGUGAAGGGUUGUUUGAUAGUUCAUCUCUAAUAUGUGUGUGAUUGAUUUUAAAUGCAAUCACUAAAGGAUGUUAACUUCAAAUAUUAGCUUUUACAAAAUCCCAUUUUCAGCUUCAGUGGGGACAUUAAAGAUCUUUAAGAGUAUAGCUGAUGGAGUUUUUGAAAUACGCUGAUCACUUAUGCUUCAAAAAGCGCUUUUGUGAUACCCCAGGAUUUGUGCAUCAUGACCACCGAAGCUUGCAGUCUAAGUUAGUUGCCUUAGAAAUGGAGUUUCCUGUUUUUAUUUAUGUCUGUUAGCCACAUUCUUUUUGGUGGUGUACCUUAUAUUAUAUUUGCUGACAAUUUAUCAGAAUGACUUUUUAGUGUGGGGUAGAAACCAAUUUUCAUGAUUAGAGUAUGAUUAAAGACAGCCUCUGCUAGCGCCCUCUUUACACCUGCAUACCAAGGCACGAGGUAAUCCCUGUAGUAUCUAUUUGUAGGUGAGGGAUGAGCUGGAGCAGCUGCUGGAUGAUGAUGAUGAUAUGGCCGACCUUUACUUGUCAAGAAAGUUGGCAGGUGCAUGUUCACCGGUUAGUGCCUCUGGUCCUGCCGGUUGGUAUCCUGCCUCCCCUACCAUAGGCUCAAAAAUAUCACGGGCAAGUAGAGCAAGUAUUCUAACUGUCCGUGGAGAUGAGAAUGACGUUGAGGAACUUGAAAUGUUACUUGAGGUAUGAUGACAUUGAUAUACUUUUCAUGUCUUGGAUUUUACUGAAAUCUAAAUACUAAAUUGCUUACUAAUACCUGUGCAGGCUUACUUUAUGCAGAUUGAUGGCACCUUGAACAAGUUAGCUACGGUAAGCUUAUCAUUCUUUUUGGCUUACAAGGAGAUUGUACCUAGUAUCUAUCCUUCAUCCCAUUCUACCCAAUGCCUCAUGGAGGUCCUUGGGCAGGCAGAUGUAAAAGAACACGUAGUGGCCUGAGGAUGGGAUGUUUCCAUUUGCUUUGGUACAAGAGUAGGGUUAUUGACAUUAAGUUUAACGAACCGGAAACAGAAAGUUGAAACACUCAAGUGACACAACCCUAUACAAUCUUAAUUUAUUCAUAUCCAUGACAACCUUAACCAUUCUAUCCGAAAUUUUGCAGCUGCGUGAAUAUAUUGAUGAUACAGAGGAUUACAUAAAUAUUCAGGUACUUGAUUUUUUAUCUUUAAUUGCUUUGGCAAGUACCAUAGAACUUUACGCAUUAUAUUUAUGUUUUUGAUCUUAAUUGUGCCUUCCAUAUUUCAGCUUGAUAACCACAGGAAUCAGUUAAUUCAGGUGCUUUAUUCUUCUUAUUUAGUGUUUUUGUUUCUCUACUACACUGGUUUCGUUUCUUCAUACUUGCUUUCUCUUUGCUUGCUUAAUCUGGAGUUGGAGUUGUUGCUUAUGACAUUAAGUUCUACUCUCUUGAUUAUUCGUGGUGCAGCUUGAGCUUUUUCUUAGUUCUGGAACUGUUAGUUUAUCCAUAUAUUCUUUGGUGGGUGGAAUUUUCGGCAUGAAUAUCCCAUAUACGUGGAACGAGGGUCAUGGAUACAUGUUUAAAUGGGUACGCACAUUAUUUCCUCUGGUAAUCGUGGCUAGUAUAAGUGUGAUAUGUGGCUGAGAAUUGAUCUUUUUGAAUUGACAGGUUUGCAUUGUCACAGGAAUAGUAUGUUUCUUUGUUUUCAUAGUAAUUGUAGCAUACGCUCGCCACAAAGGGUUGGUUGGAUCGUGAACUUGGUAAAUAAAGUUUUUGCUGAUAGCAAGGAGUUCGAGAUUUAUUGAUUUAGGUCUUGUCAUGUGGAUGAACACAAAAUUGGGUGUCAAGGCUUUCAGGUAAUGAAGGAACUAUAAUCUCUUGCUGAGUUUUGGUGAUUUAGUACUGCCCGUAAUGGCUUCUGUGGUUAACAAGGCUAAGUCUGACUAUGGGAAUUUUAGAUUAGAAAUCCCAAGGAUGUGCAAUUUCGUUGAUUGUUGACAACCUUAUUAACAAGAUUCACCUCGCCAGUACUGGCUGUAAAACAUUUUUUUUUUAUUUUAGUCCAUAGUUUUUGUUCUGGUUACACAUGUAUUUGUUCUAACAAGUAUAUUCUUUGAAUCACCUGUCAUAUCGGUUGCCGCCAAUUCGUGCAAUUGUGGUGCAAGGCGAAUCUUACAUCUCAGAAACAAUAAGUAGUCUCAUUUAUCUCAUGCUUUUCCCAAAUAGAAACCAAUAGAAGAGCAAACUACAAUCAUGAACCGUGAUUGACAUAGAAAGCUAAACCAAGAUGGCGUGACCCUGAUCACCCAUUUUGAACAGAUUUGAAAGAGAAUUAUGGAGCUGCCUUGAAGCAAACUUCUGCCUUCGGGUCUGAACUCCAUCUUCAUAAUUGGCAAACAACCAGUUUUACAAAGUGCUCACUACAGUGAAUGGACACGCAGAAUAACCAUCAUAGAUUCUCCGAGCAAGAUAACUUAGUCCGGAUACCUGCAUUGGCAUAUGAAAACUCAUAUUUAUUGGUUUAAAAGUGGUAGGAUUGUUGUGUUGGUAACUUAAUAGGUUAGAAGCAUUUCAUCCUGCAAUUUUGAGGAUGUGAGUUGGAACCCCUCCACUAUCACUUCUUAAAACAAAAUCGUGAAGCCUAAUCCGUUACUUGCUUACGUUCUUAAUAUGUGGCAAAAUUUGAGUGGAAAGAUAUACGUUGCGUGCAGCUAUUAUACACAUUUUUUUGACUGAGAUCCAACACGUGAUAAAAAUAAAAUGAUUCUUUUUUUAGAAUUGAGAAUGGUUGGUCGACAAGAGUGUGGAUUGAUUGUCAGAAUCCACGAAAAACAUGCAUUUUUGCAAGAGAUUUAAUUAUUAUCCUCAUUAGUUCAUAUGUGCGUCACAUGUAGCUACAUGCACUAAAUACACGUAGCAGUCUGUUUCGCGCAGAAAAUCGUUUAUAUAUGCUCAGCAGCAACAACAUAGAAAAUAACGAGAGACGAAAGAGCGAUAGAAGAGCAAAAGAAAGAGUGCAAAUCACGUGAAGAUGGAUUUCAAUCUCGAAGGCAUAUAAGAAAUUGAUCAAAAUUCAGGUAUGCAAUCCGGAUCUCUUCUUUUUCAUGUCUAUAGUAUGAUGCACUAAGAUUAAGAUACCAAAAUGGUGAAAAUUCAUGAAACAAUUCAGAUCCAUAAUGUUAAAAACUCAUCAAACAUGAUUGUCUUCUCUGUCAUUACCAAUUCGUUGAAAAAAUUAGCACAAUCACUGGAGAUCGAUUAAGUGUUAUAUUCAUUGAUUAUAUAUACCCCCUUCUUGUUGUAGUUAGAAUUACAGGAAAUCAAUCACAAAUAUAUGAAUUUUAGGCUGAACCAAAUCUGAAUCAGCCUUAUUUUCCCUUAGUUGGUGAGAUGAGAUGAGAGCAUCUUGAGACAUUCUCUUCAUCUCGAGUCUUGAAGCAGAUUUUUUUGGGUAAUAGUCUUGAAGCAGAUAGAGGCUGAGAAUUUUGAGUUAGUGACCUGUCACUGGUCAAGCACAACUGUCUGCAUGUCAAGAAACGGUUACAUUGAAACUGCCAAAAGUUUAAACGACCCAAUUUCCAUCCUAGAACAAUUUGGGUCUUCUUAUUUUGUCGACAUAUGUUUUCUUUUUCAACAAAAUUCUUUGAUGGAAUUGACCACAUAUAACUUGUGCUUUGUAAUUGACCAAAAAAAAAACCACUUGUGCUUUGUAAAUGGGGGUCGUUUAUUUUUCAAUAUUAUGCAUAAAAUUGACCUUUAUUAUGACGGAAUGUCUCAAUACAACAUUUUUAAACAUUUCAUCUCAUAAAAAUAAAUUUCAGAUUUUAUCGCUAUUAAUUUGGUCGAAAACUUAACUCAAUUGAGCUAAACAAAAUUUUGAUUUGUUUUCUAACGCACUCAACUUUUAGCCGAACUUACCAAAAACUCAAGUGAAUGAGGCAUGAGCGCUUCCCUCCUCCAAACCCUAAAACUCAAUUCACAAGAACAAAGCUUAAUUACUCCCCAUCGAAGUCACACGCAUCAUGGACAAUUACUGCAAUUCUCUCAUUCUAGGUGACAAGGAUAUUUCAUUGCGUGACACAUAAUGUAACACAUUUACAUUUUCGUUUCCCUCUACUGUUUCUACUAAUCCUUCUGUUUUGUUUUUUUGCCUCUUAGAAGCUCCAAUUUACAAAUGAAAUUGACUCAUUAGAGACAAGGAUAGUCGUGGUUCUCAAAGUUUCACACUCAAAACUCUGAUUCUUUGACGUGCAAUAUCCACAUCAAUAGAUAACACAUCACAUGCAAAAUACACACGACUUUUGCAUUAUCUUAUGUAGUUCAUAACCCUCAUCGCACAAUCCAACAUCUUUGAGGAUUUGAGUCACUUUGACUUCGCAGAAAGACAAAGAAAGCAAACUUUGAGGAAGAAAAGACAACCUUCUCGUUUUCUUUGUUUUUUCUUGGCUCUGUUGGAAAUUAGGAAUAACCAAAAAAAAAAACCUUUGCGCAGUUUAAGCCAAAGCCUUUGAUUCUUUUAUGCUUUUACAUAUAUGGGUUUUUUGUUCCUUCUAUAUUAGUGUUUUUCACAUUUAUGUGUGCGUUUUGUAUAAUCUAGAGGUGAUGUAUUUGUAGCUGUUUGGAGCCUCGAACAGAUCAUCAAACCCUAUCUCUCCCUAAUCGUUGUCCAAAUCGAAACAAGAAUCCCAAUCCCUCCCCCUUAAUCCCAUUCUUUUUCUUCAUCAACAGUCAAAAGAUCAAGGAUCCCAUAUGGGUUCUUGAGGUUUCUUGAUUCUAAUUGGUGACAUGCACCAGGUGCUUACGUGAAUGAAAGCAGAGUGUUGUGUUUUUGAAACAAGAUAAUGAUGACCAUUAGCAGCAACCAUGUUGUGAAAGUUAAGAGGGAGAAGCUUGAAGCAUGCAUGACAUGCCCUGUAUGCAAUGAGCUGUUCAGAGAAGCCACAACUAUUUCUGAAUGUCUUCAUACAUGUAAGUCUUUCUUUCUUUCCAUCUCUGCUCUUUUGGGAUCUGAUUGUUCAUGUGUUCUGUGCGUGUUGUGUGCUCAUUUUGUUGAUAUGGGUGCUUUGUUUUUACGUAAAUUCAUAUUCUUUUUCUUGUUUUCUGGUCUGGGUUUAUCGAAAUUUACGUUUUCAUCAUCUGGAUUCUGGGUCCUUUUCAAUUUGCAAGGUUGGUUGUUUUCCUAUUUUGGACUUUUGCUAUAUGGUAAUGUGAAGUGUGUGUGUGUACCGUAUAUUGUUGGCUCUUGGUAUACAAGUCCUACUAUGCCAUUUAUGCCUGAUUGGCCUUUCUUUCACCUAGUGUUGGUAACUGUAAUGAUUAAAAUUCCUGUCUAUGAUACAAUGGACAUAAGCUUAUAUGCUUCUUUACUCACUGCUACCCUAAACUCUUGGUCUUUUUCCAAUUGUCGCUGAAGUAUAUGGCUAUCAUCUGUAUUAGAUGCCUCACAGAUAGUGUAACAGCAAUGCUGCUCUUGAUAAUGUUUUUUCUAUGAUUCAAUGUGACUGACUUGGUUAUUGUUUCUGGGAACAGUUUGCAAGAGGUGCAUAUACGACAAAAUAAUCAAUGAAGAUUGUGAUAGAUGUCCGGUAUGCAAGACAGAUUUAGGGGUUGCUCCAAUGGAAAAGCUCAGGUAGUUUAAUCAUCUACAUAUCGUAUGUUUAUAGAUUAGCUGGAUGCUCAGAUAAUGCAUUAGCGUAUAUUAUCCCAAGCAAGAAAAAAGAAAAAAGAAAAAAGAAAAAAAAAGGAGUAUUCUGUAAAACAUUCCAAUAUGAGUUUAAAAUCAUCAACUCUGCCCUUAUGCUGCUAUCCUUUAUUGAUUCAUUGCUUGUUUGGUCAAUAAAAGGUAUAAUGAAUUUGUCAUUCCCUAAUGUUCUUGGUGCAGCAUUAGGCUUAUAACAAGCUUACACUUAUGAUUUCGGCACUACAGCAGUUUUUGUAACCUCAUAACACAUUUCUGGCAUAAUGUAUAAAUCUUAUGUUGAUUCUAUUACUAUCUGACCUCCCUCCUCAUAGCUAUUAAAUACCUAGCCUUCUUUUCUAAAUUUGUAGAUAUCAUCAAUUGUUAUAAUAAUUUCAUCAGAUGUGUGCCAGUAUAUUAACCACAAAGUUAUGCUAAAAGGACCAAGCCAUGGUUGCAUAUUAGUGUUAUGUUUCUUCAGUUCUGUAAUUUCUCUUCGGUCUGCAGGGCUGACAAUAGUCUGGAAGACAUAAGGGCUAAGAUCUUCCCUUCUGAAAGUAAAAAGCUCAAGGCACGAGUAGCAGACCACAAUCUGCAAGUUGUAGACUCUGAGAAGGUAUUGCCUUCCGAAACAAGAAAUGCCAAGACAACUGACGUUGGUUUGCCCUCCAUAUAUUCAUCAGGGAGAAAAAAACAGAGAUUCCUCUCUUCAUUAGGAACAAGCACAACUACAGCUACAACGAGUGGAAAACGGUAUUUUACUAGAAAGAGUUCAGUUCAACAUGAGAGUCAUCUUUUGACUCGAGAAGAACUUGUUCCCAAACAUGAAAAGUUUCCAGAGAGGAUCAAAUCAUCCGAGAACCUUAGAGAAUAUUCAACAUAUGCCAGACAGGUUAAUAAAAAGAAAACAAAUUGAUUUAAUGGUUUUGCUUGUCCUUUUUGUUGUUCUUAAAAUAUGUUACAUUUCUAUCUUUUGUUGCAGAAUGCUACUGAGAAGUUGUUUAAGAAAGACGAGGUGAACAAUGACAUCAUGAACAAAGCACAACCAAGAUGGACAACUGGUCUGAUGGAAACUGAAAGAGAAGAUGCAAGAGUGCUAAGAAAGCAAGUGUUCUUAAACCUCAACAAUGAACCAGAAGAGCUUAAUACCUUUCAGGAACAUGGCAAUAAUAAUGAAUCUAUUCCUGCACCAUUAGGUUCACUGCCAAUUGCUAAAGGCCAACGUGGCCACAAGAGAAAAGUAGUACCAGAUCCUGAGGAGUUACAAACUCCAGCACAACAUGUGGUGUUUGACGCAAAUAUAGAAAGUGAACCAAGAUCUAAACCAAUCUGGUUCUCAUUGCAAGCUUAUCCAUGGUGAGAUUCUGUUCCUUUGGAUUAAAACAUGAAGUGAUUUUGAUAUUUUUUUCUCAGUCCAUAUAUGUCAAGCUUUACAAUCUAGUAAGUCGAUGGUUGUAGGGAAGGAUAUGCACCCUUGCCACAGAUACCUUCGUCUUACUUGAGAGUCAAGUAAGUUCCAUUGACUUUAAUCUCUGUCUGAUAUUGAAGUGUUAAGAGGCUUCACAUUUUGCUUUUGAUAAAUGCCUUAUUCAUUGAACACUGUUUCUAUUAACUUGUCAUUAAAUUUAGAAUGCUGAAAUCUGUUUGCAUCAGUCCCUAAACUUCUGUUUGCAUCAUUCCCUAAACUUUUGAACAUCAUUCCCUUUUGUUGCUGCAGUGGUUAUUGAAGAUCUUCUUGUCGGGUUAGCAAAUUGAUAGCGACCGAAACCGGGCGUUUCAAUUAAAACCCUUUUGUGUCAAUUGUAGUAUAUAGCAAAUAAGGGUAUCGUUAUAAAAGCCGGGGAUUGAGGGUACCUUUACAAUUACGUUAAUUACAAAAUAAGAGAAAACAGAAGAUAAUAGUACUAGAGAUAUGAGAUUUUGUGAUUAUAAACAAGAGAACACAAAGAAACAAAAUAAAGCAGAAAAUAUUAGAUGGAUGAGACGUUAGAGACUUGGAAAUCCACCACCAAGUAUGUUUCAAGAUAAGUUAACAACCAAAGCUUCAAUUAUUAAGUCACAAAUUGGUAUCAAUCAAGAACAAACCGUAAACGCACUGCGUAAGUCCUUAUUACUUCCCUUGAAUACUUAAGUAAGAUGAACGCACCAUUACUAAGCCUUUAGAAUAACCGAUCAAUGUAUAGUUCCUUGAAUACUUAAGUAAGAUGAACGCACUAUUACUAAGCCUUUAGAAUAACCGAUCAAGGUAUAGACGCUAUCCUAUCAACAAAUUAUUCUAAGCAUUAAGAUCAAUGAAAAUGAUUGAACAAGUAUGCAAAACAAGUGUGGAACGCCUACCUAGCAUGCAAUCCUUUUUAUUUGGUUUCACUUAUUGUCCUAUAGGUUUUACUACUUUGAACUAAGCCGUAUUAACCGUUUAGGAGAUUAAACAACCUAAUUCUAGCCCCACUCACAAGUUCAUAAUGUUCUAUGUUGCGCAUACAUGAACAUAAACAAGCAAGAGUUCUCCAUAAACCAAAACCAAAUAAACAAUUUGAAAGACUUAAUAAUUUGAAACCAAGGUUCAAAACAAUAUUUAAAACAUUCUUGGGGCUUCAAACCUUGCCCCUAACUAAGAGAAUUCAGCCACACAUGGCUGCAAAAUCACACAAGGAAAAUAAAAGAUGACAAAGGAAAGGUAAACCGUGGAUGAUGGAGAGAUCAAUGAUGGCUUGGCGGCUUCCUUGUGCGAGUCCGUUAACUGUGGAGGUUCUGAUGAUGUGAGAUCGCUGGCCUCCUCUCUUCUUCACGUCCUCUCUCUCCUGCUGUGAUUAGGGUUAUAAAACCCUUAAAACUCGUCCAUGGGUUUGCCAAUGUGGUCUGGGCCUCAAAAUAGAAGUUUUGGUCCAAAUCAGAAAUUCGGGCAGACUGACCUUCGGCCACUUAAACGGUCAUAACUUCUUCUCCAAAAUAGGUAUUGACGAUCUGUAAAAGGUUCUGGAAAGUAGACUCUUGUAGCUUUCCAUUGAUAUAUGGUACAUCUCCUGGAUCGUUGUGAACUGAUCACAAUCUUCUGUCGAAGUUGACUGACGAUUUCUGAAAGAUUUUUUGAUUUCUUUCCUUGCAUGAGAUGAAUUCCUUUUCCUUCAAGAUUUCUCCUCUUUUGUCUCUUUUGGGCUCCUUGGCUUUAUUUAUGACCUAAAAACAUAAACUUAGUUAAUAUGAAUAUUGUUAAGGGAAUUAUAUAGCUAAAUAGGGUCGGAAAUACAUUAUAAACGUAACACUUUGUGCUCCUAUCACAAAUAUGUAUUGCUUUCCACUUUACUUCUUGGCAAAAAAAAAAUGCAUUUUCCUGCCCUUUGAUCAUAAAGACAUAUACAAUUUUAUUCUAAAAAAAGAGUGCAAAAUUAAAAUUGUUGUGUCUGAGCUCAUCAGAUAAAAUUUAAACACUUGGGAUCAGUUUUUGUAUUUUAUUUUGUCUGGGGGCAAAUGUUCUUGCUUUUCCCUGUUCGUCGAUCUUUCAUUGUGGAAACCCCUGGCUUUCAUACUAGUUUAUUUAAGUUCAUUGAGUAUAUAUGAGCAGGGUUCUAUGGUCAGUGUGUUUACUUGUUUUUCUUGGAUUUUUGUUGCGUGCUAAGAAUUCCAAUAAGACAAUGCCAAGUGGUGAUCAACCCGAAAAUGCUCUCUUUAAAUAUUCUGGAAAAUUUGCAGUGUUUACUGUAAUUUCUUUGUUUAGUCUGAUUCCUAAUCACACAUGAAUUUGAAUUUGUUUUUUCAAAUGUCUCAGAGAUGGUAACUUACCCAGUUCUUUCAUAAAAAAGUAUCUGGUGAGAAAGCUGCAUCUUCAGAGCGAGGCAGAGGUAAAAUCAUCUGCUUUCCCUUUUCAAAUUAGUAAAGAUGCAUGUGUAACCCUUCUGUUUAUGAUAGUUAAAUGCAUGGAGGUUCCAUUUAGAUUAGUUACAUCUUAAGCUGACCUGAUUCUUUGAUGCCAAAACUUUUUACUUGGAACUACAUUUAUUGUUUUACCACCAAUGACUUCAGAAGUUGGAUCAUAUGUGGAAAAGUACUACCUUCUUUGAGAUUUUAAAGACGGAUAAGGAGUCAAGGACAUAUACUUGAGACAACAGAAUUCUGAGCUGUUGUUUCUGAUAGAAAUUUCUGAAAGGACAUUUUUGUAGUCAAAACCAAGUGUGUUGAUUUGUUUUAUCAAUGUUGCUCCACAUUUCAAUUGUCCACAUUUCAUUUUGUCUUUUGAGUUGGCCGGACUUGACAACGCAAAGUUAUCUCAGCACAAAGUUUCUUUCACUUCAUUUCCAACGCAGGUGGAGAUUCUAAUGUGGGGUCGGCCGAUACAUCCCACAUUGUUGUUGCAUGACUUGGUGGAUUUGUGGUUACAGAAAAUAUCAGCAUCAAAUAUAAUACAGUCCACAGUAGGCAGCUCGGCAAAGGAGUGUGUGAUGGUUAUAACCUACUGUCGAAAAGUGCUACACCGCUGGUAGAAUUGUUUAAGCGACCUGCAUGAAUGCACUGCUGUUGAAUGUGAUCGAAGUCCUGGCAGUUUCAGCCACCUUCACCGUACAUCAUGCAGUUAGAUUUAGAGUUCCAUUUCUUUUUUCUUUUCAUCCCUGCAAGCAUAAAUGGUUUGCUGCCUUCAAGAAAAAAAAUAAUGCUUUGCUUGCAGUGUGGUGUGUCCGGCACUACAUGGAACUGUUUCGUGGAAAAAUCAGAAAUUAUGAAAGGUUCAACUUAUGUCCGCAGUGUUGGUAAUAGUAGAUUUUGCACAGGAUGGAGCGUUUCUGUCUUGUUAAUAACCUCACUAUAUACGGAAUAACUAAGAAACAGGUUAGAGAAUAACCUGAAUAGAAAGUUGAACGCAAGCCUGAAUUUUCUUGAUAGUUUAAAAUCAAAAGAUAAGCGUGUGCUAGUUAUGAAUACAAUUUGGACGGUUAUAGUUUCAGUACAACUUGGAGGGUUCAGUUCAAGUGCAAUUUACAACUGAUGGAGCUUUUCUGUAAUGUUCAUUUCUAACCUCAAUAGAUAUGCAAAUAACUAGGCAACAGGUCAUGCGAUAACCUCAAGAGAGAGGAUGCUGUAUGCAAGCCUGAAUUUUCCAUAUAGUCUAACCUCAUUUACACAAACUGAUACUUUUUAUCAAAUUUCUAUGAAAAAUCAGAUGGCAUACUCACCGUUGAGAGUUAGCACUGCAGAAAUGACUACUACAAAAUUGCAGUUACAAUGUGUCUUGUUUGGUCAACAUUUACCAUGAGAACAAUGGUAUAUACAAGUUCUCUGCCAAAAGCACCAAGAACAUGAUUGAAUAGGCGAACAAUUUUGAAAAACAAUUAUGCUGAUGUUUACACAAUCACAGACUCCAGAAAGAAGAAGCUAACAUCAGUACUGGCUGAAAGUUUAUCUGCAUCGAACCCUGGUAAAUGAUGAAAUGCUGCCAUCUGCAAUGCAUACAGGGAGAAGCUACAUAAGAACCCAUGUUAGAGGGUAUAAUACCUUGAACGAAUGAUAGGAACAUCUAAUUGGGAGUACCAGAGAUAGUAUUUAACAACUUCAGAAAAGCCACAAAGGAUGGCCAAAGAAUAACAGAGGCACCAUAAACUAAAGCAAACGAAAUGAUACAAGACCAUUUUAGUAUAGACUAAAAAACUUUAGUAUAACAGAGAUACCAUUUAACAACUCGGAAAAAGCCACAAUGGAUGUUUGACAAGAUGGCAUUUUCAAGGAAUUUCACACUUUCACCAAUUAAGGGUAUGCAAGCACAUAUCCCUACACAUGUAAUUUCAGGUAAUCACCAGUAAUGAUGCCUUUGUUAUUAAUCAAGUCCGAACAUUCAAAGUAGAUGUGUAUGCUACCAAAUGUCACAUAAGCCAUCCAUACAUAAACAGAAAAAUGCAUACCAUAGAUGUAAAAAGCACCCAACUUGAUUCAAUCCCUGAUCAAGUCCUGAGUCAUAUGUGUGUUUGUGUUCAUUUUGCAUAAAACAUUGGCAUUGAUAAAUCAUUUUCAAGUGAAGAUGGCAGUGCAAUGUUACUCACACUGGCCAACAGAUAGCAUAGACUAAUGCCAAAGAAAUGAUACAAGAUCACAUGGAAUCAAUCAAAUGGAAGAAACACCAAGUUCAGAUAUGUAUGCGACAAUAUGAUAAAUCAAAAUCUUACUAAAACGGUAGAAAUAAAACAUUAAAUUCUGUUAGUUUCUAAUUAACGAGUAUCACAAGAAUUACCAAUAUCUGAAAUUAUUUGGCACUUGCAGCAAUAUGGUCUGAUGGUGAAGCCAAGUACUAACUUUGGCUACAACCGUCUUCCACAGCUACACUUAUUUUAGUCCACCGAAACGAUGCCUAGAAAACAGGUAAUGCUACAGGAAGAAUUUAAUGCUUGACAACUAACACACUUCAUUUUGAAUAACUUGGAGCUUAAGAUAAGUAAAAGACAAAAGACAAUGUAGCUAAGAUUCAAAAAACCAACAAGACACAAAAACACACCAAACGAUCCAUCCGAACUUGCUUCCUUUAAAUAAAGCUAUAAACCAUGUAAUAGGCAGCGAAAAAAAUCUUAAGAACUGGUAACAAUUCUAGAAUCAUUGCUCACUUGAACCUAAAAUGCUUUAUAUAUGGACAUAUACUAAACAAAGCUCCAACUUAUUCGAUACAACAAUCAUAAAACUCCCAGUUCUCUACACAAUUCCUAUCACAGCAAUCCACAUUGUGCUAACAAUUCCAAUCACAAAGACUCAAACUUUUCGCAGAUUCAUCGAAAACCCAGAAACAAAAACGCAAAACUCACCUCAUCAAACAUCAAAGACCAAAACGACCAUCACAUAAUGGUGUAGUUCCCACGCGGGUCAGGAUCAUCCGAAAGCAGUGCCCCAUAAGGCGACUCCUUAUCCUCCAUCACAAGAUCCUCCGUGCCCCUAAACACCGCAUGAACACAAACCACCACCGCCCCCACCACCCCCGAAACGACGACGUUCAGCCACACGUUUGUCAGCACCAGCGCCACCACAGUCACCAAUCCCAGCACAGCCAUCACGACCCGGUCCCCGACAACAAACCCGAAGACCGAAACGUCGUCGUCGCGGGAGAAGUAGAAGAAGACCCAGGCGGCGAAGACGAGGAGGAAGACGAUGAGGGAGACAGGGUGGUAGAGGAGGCUGAGGAAGAGGACGACCAAGACGAGCAUGGCGUAGUUUGACCGGAAAUGGGUCGAGUUCUGGAAGAGCCGGGUCGUCGCGUCGGAGAAGUUUUGAGGGAGGCUGAGGGCGGAGAGGUCGGAGAAUUCGGACCAGGGGCGGUGGGCGGCCAUCGCUGAUUGGCCGGCUUCUUUGAAACGGGUCACGAUUCCGGUGGACAUUGUUGUAAAGAUUGGAUUUUUGGGGUAAAGAUUGGAUUUUGAGAAGAAAUUGGAGAUGGGUUUUCUUUGGUUUCUAUGUCAGAGGUGAUUGUGAACUCCGAGUUGACCUCCGAUGGGGAGCUUUGACGGGUUUGGACUGUGUAUUAUAGUAUGAUUGGGCUGGAAAAGCAUAGGUGGUAUAGUUGGGUCUAGACAUGGAGGAAACUGGCCCAGUGGGCUUUUAAAGGUUAGAUGAAGUGGUGGUGGUUAUGUGGAGAAGAAGGGUGAGGAGGAUUGUCACACGAUGAUAGUUGCAGAGAGUGACGCAAAGAAAGGGGAGGCCGAUCUGGAUGUAUGGGAGUAGUGAAGCAAUAGGGGAAAAACUAGCUAGGGUAGAGGCGAUUUAUGUUGCCGAUAUACGUGGUUUUUCGUGACAUUGCAAGGGAGGUGCGACAUGGUGAGUGUAAAACCGAAGCUCGACCAGAGAAUAGUGUGUAAAAAAAAAAUAAAAAAAUCAACAAAUACGGAUAGUACUGUAUGACAUUUUAUGUGCUCGACACUUUGGUAUCUCACAUGCAUUGAUAAACAUAUUCAUCAUUCAUACCUCGAGUUUUAGGGGGGUGUAUUGUAUUUGGAUUCAUACAGACUUAUUUUAAUCAACUGACUUUUUGAAAAGUCUACAGACUCUUUGAAAAGUUCAUAGACUUUCACUGAUUUCUUAAAACCAUUGAUUUUUAAUCACGUACUUUCACUGAUUUCUGAAAUCUACAGAGAUUUCGUAUGAAUGACUUUUGUAGAUUUCUCAAUACUUAUAGAAUUNNNNNNNNNNNNNNNNNNNNAUGAGUUAUUAAUUCCAUAAGUAUGAAUGAUAUUUUGAAUACAUCUGAACUUCUAUUCAUUUUAAAAAGUCUUAAUUGAAUACCCUUGAACUUUGGUGGAAUUCAUAAUGAUUUUUUAAAAUUAAGUUGAAUACACCCAGACUUUGAUUGAUUUUUAAAAGUCUAUAUUAAAUACACCUAAACUUUCAAAUUUCAUAGACUUCUUUAAAACUUCCAUUAAUUCUAUAUACAAUACACCCCCCUUAGUAAAUAUAGAUUACUUUCAUUUUUCAUACCAUAAUCUUUGGUCUGUACAUUAUUACGAAAUCACUAGAUAAAAGAUUUGUGUGUCAAAAUAAUUCAAGGAGCUCUUAUCAUCUUCUCCACAAAAAAUGAGGACCCCUGCUUUCUUGUGACACUCAUAGCUAGGUCGAAUUGUGGCUCGAUUGAUAGAUUAUUGUAUCGCUCAUUAGUAUAUACCUUGACACUGUGAAUUGUGCAUGGGAAUGACCAGAGGAAAAGAGACGAGUACCGUACAAAUUUCUUGUUGCUUUAUCACGCUGGUUAUGUAAAACCACAACCGUAUAUGAUAACAUAUUGGGUUCUACAUGCAGAUAAUGAGUAAAAGCGACGAGUGCCAUAUAAUUAUCACACUGUUGAUGCAAAACCACAAUAAUCUAUGUAUGCAUAUCACUACUAGAAGUUAGGACUUAUGUGACGAAAUGGUUUCGUCGCUUAAGAGUGAAAUUUCGUCGCAUAAGUAUUUAAGCGACGAAAAUUUCGUCGCUUAAGAGUCGUCGCAUAGGUGGUGUCGCAUAGGUAUCUAAACGACGAAACAUGUAUUUUCGUCGCUUAGGUUCCUCUUAAGCGACGAAUUACAUUUCGUCGCUAAACUACUUAAGCGACGAACAAAUAUUUCGUCGCAUAAGUGCCUCCUAAGCGACGAAAAAAAUUCGUCACAUAGACUUAUGCGACGAAACGUUUCUAACUUAAGCGACAAAAUAUUUCGUCACUNNNNNNNNNNNNNNNNNNNNGGGGUGGUGGUGGUUUAGAAGAAGAAGAACCGGAGGAGGGUGGUGGUGGUUUAGAAGAAGAAGAAGAAGUGUGGUGGUGAAGAAGACGAAGAAGAAGGAAGAAGAAGAAAAGUGGAGGGAAAGUUUUGGCAGAAUGAUUCAAAAUUCCAAAUUUUUGGCGGAAAUGACCUAUAUGUGACGAAAUAAAAAAUUUCGUCGCAUGAGUGAAAAAUUCAAAUUUUUUGGCAUAAGUGAGGACUUAUGCUACAAAAUAAAAAUUCGUCGCAUAAGUUUUCACUUAAGAGAGGAAACCAGUUUCGUCUCAUAAGUGCUCACUUAAAAGACGAAAAAUAAUUUCGUCUCUUAAGUUGUUACUUAAGCGACAAAUUUGAAAAAUUUCGUCUCUUAAGCCUUUUUUCCUAGUAGUGUAUAGAAUUUACUAUAUAUCUAUUUGUUGGUCACUGUUCAUCUACAAUAAAAAAAAAAUUUGGCUUGGGCCUUUUUUUUUUUUUUUGCUGAAAAAAAAAAAGUAGAUUGGGUUUCGCAGUUCGCACAUUAUCUAAAAAGGACCCUCUGAAAUUUGCUUUGUUCUAUCUCCGAUGAAAAGAGUAGAUUAGGAAAAGAGUGAAAGAAAGAAUCAAGAAGAAAGAACAUAAGAGAUAUAUUUUUACUACUAUGAUAAGUACUUUGUUGUUAAGUAUUUCAAAUUGAAUUAAAAUUGAAAUACUAAUGCUACUAAUGCUUAUUGUUGAUGGUUCUUGGGUGCUUCCUGAUCUACUUCAACUUCACUUUCCAGCUUUAUGUAAUAAAAUUGAGCAGGUCCCUCUUGCUACUAAUGCUUCGAUGGAGGACACUCUUAUUUGGAUGCCUUCGUCUACAGGAGAUUUGACUGCAAAGAAUGCUUACCAAUUUUUACGGCAUCCAUUUCCCUCCAUGCCUUGGGGUAAGUCCUUAUGGUCUAGAUUUAUUAUUCCUAGAAUGUCUCUACAUGCUUGGAAGGUUUUGAAAGGGAGAGUAAUUUGUGAUGAGCUUAUACAACGUCGAGGAGUGGCUUGGGUUUCAAGAUGUGAGCUUUGUGGUGCAUGUACUGAGUCCCUGCAACAUAUUUUCUUGCAUUGUCCCUUUACAGCUGCUAUAUGGUCUUAUUUCUUAUCUCUUUUUGAUCUGGGGGCUACUCCUCAUACAAUUGUGAAUUUAUUUCAUAAAGGUCUGAGUAUGGGACAUAGCUCACAGCUUAAGGAGCUUUGGUUGAUCUGUUUUACUUCGAUUUUAUGGUUUGUAUGGCAUGCGAGAAAUAAGACCAGAUUUGACGGUAAGUCGUUCUCUGUGGCUUUGUCAUCUCAUUUUGGGGCACAUUAGAGCGGCUAGUCGACUUGCAAAUGGUCCAAUGCAUAAUUCAGUUCAGGAUUUAUGAUUAAUAAAGAGUUUUGGUGCAGAGUGUCGAUUGGGAAGAGCUCCAAGAGUUAUUGAGGUUGUUUGGCAUCCUCCAGUCAUUGGGUGGGUGAAGAUUAAUUCGGAUGGAGCUUGAAAGCAUGCAGAGGGUGUUGGAGGUUUUGGUGCUGUUUUUCGUGACUUUAAAGGUCAUGUUCUUGGUGCUUUUUCUUCCAACAUUGACAUUCCUAGUUCAGUAGCAGCAGAGGUGAUGGCAGUUAUAGUUGCUAUUGAGCUUGCUUGGGUAUGAGACUGGAAACACAUUUGGUUAGAGGUUGACUCGUCACUUGUGUUAGACUAUCUACGGUCUCCUUUGCUUGUAUCUUGGCAUCUACGUGUCCGUUGGCUUAAUUGUGUACAUUGCAUAUCGAAGAUGACCUUUCGAUCUUCUCAUAUUUUUCGUGAAGGGAAUAAGGUUGCAGAUGCUCUGGCUAAUCACAGUACGUCGUUAACACAACUGGUUUGGUGGGAUUCACCUCCUCCUUUUAUUUUGUCAUAUUGUAGUAGUGACCUUAUGGGUCUUCCCCAAUUUCAGUUUUCAUAGUUUUGUUUCGUUAUUAUUUCGUUAUGAGAGGUUUUGGUCUAAUCCCCUCUCUUGAUGUUUCUUUUUUUUUCUUUUUAAUACAUAAGAGUGUUAGGGGGUCAUUCCUCUCUCACUCAUCUUUCAGCCAAAAAAAAAAUUGAAUUUAUAUAAAUCUUGCACUUUGAUACAUUAGAAAUGAGAAUAAAAAAUAAAAAAAUUAUGAACACAAAUCUCGCAAAUCCUACAGCAAAGCGCGGGUCAUAAUUGUAGUAUAGUCAUAUGUAUGAAUAUUGAGAUUGUGGGUUUAGGUAUACGUCGUUACGUCUUGAUUUUUUUUUUUUUUUUUUUUUUUUUUUUUUAUAAGAUACGUAAACAUUUUAUUAAAGCAGACUUAGGUACAAGAUAACAUUCAAUUACAACGAAUUCAAUAACAACGAACCAACCACGAACUGGAAAUAAGCUCAUAUCCAGCAAUCAACUACUAUCUCCUAAACUCACAUGUAUACGACAUAUACAGAGACGAGGACCAUACAAUUUUUGAGGUGAUGAAAUGGUUUUUAAGCUAUUUAAUUAUUAUGGUUCACCGACUAUCUCAAUAUUAUUCACAUACGUACCUAUUCAUUCAUUCCUCACUUUGAAACGAAAUAAUGAAUCAGUAAUCAAUGAAACUUGUCUUCUGCACUUUAUUGCUAGCUAGGUAAACACAAAAUAUUACAUGACGUCCCGAGUCCGGCAUGCGCAGUACGUCGCCGUUGUAGGGUAGGGGAUGAGGGCCGGGAUUGUAUGAAUUAUAUUACUCCCACCACCAGCUCAUAUAUAGGCCAUGAAUCAUAAAUAGUCUAUAACAAAUAAUCUAGUCCUGCAUUCAUAUAUACCAGAGACCGAGUAUCAGAAGUCUCAUGCAUGCAUGUUUUUUUUAUCGAAGAAAAUAUCAAUGUUUGCAUCAGUGUGUGAGUAAUUUUAUGUCUGAUACCCACGAUAUAGGAAUCAAUGAAAGAAAGGAGCCACAGAACAGGGAAGGCAGGGGUGUACAUCGUACGUACCUACUAUAUAUAAACAGCUUUCAGAUUAGAAAGAAGGACGAGGGAAUUCGAAGUCAGAAACUCAGAAUCAGAUUUGAGGGGCAUGCAUGCACUACCUUCUGUAGGCAAGAGAUGCAACAUGAUCAGCUGCGCUAUUCGUCUGUAUUUCUGCUGGACCAAAUCCAGCUAAUUAACUUGCCAGACUAAAAUUUAUAGAGGCUAGUAAAAAAAUAAAAAAUAAAAUACAACUUACACCAUGGAAAUCAAAAUUAUUUCUUUGGCUAUCUCAAAUUAGUUAUUUUGGACCAGUAGAAUAAAAUUAGUUAAUACUAUUUUUGCUAUCAUAUAUAUAAUCUCUCUUAAUUAUUUUUUCCAUCCGUGUUCACAGAUUAUUUUUUUUUUUUUCAAACACGAAGAACGUGUAAGUGUGUAACAUGCGGGAGGAGGAGCUAGAUUGUGUAACACACGUACAAUGACAAACGAAUCAAACUUGUUUCUAUUCAUACGUGUUCACUGCAGUAGUACUGCUAACAAGCCCAAAAACCAUUAGUUUGUCUCUCGUACGUUUUGAAGCUAGCUUCAGAUCUAGAUCUUGAAUCCCGACAUAUGCAUGCAAAUUUGUCGUUCGAUCAGUGAGCAAUUAUUAUCUCUCAAUUAAGUAGCGAGGUGGGAAAUGCAUGAACACUACCAGAUCGACCGAGGACCAGUAUAUUCAUUCUGUAAACACAUGCAGUAGUUCGCAUCUGCGAUAUAUAUGCAGUGCGCAUAAUUUAGAUUUUUAACUGCAUGAUCAUAUAUAUAAUUUCACCUAGCUUAAUUAGCCUGGCAUUGGGCCUUUUCUACCAUACGUACGUUAAAUAUGAUCCAUUAUUAUUAUAGUAAACUACAUAUUAGUUACUAACCAAAUAUCAAUUGACAAAAAGAUCCAUUAAGCAUAUUACUAAACAAAUAAGGACAAACAUUUACAAAUAAGGACAAACUGUUAUAUUGUUGCCAUGUGGCAUUGCACAUUUACAAUUUUGUCUUUAAUUAAAACAUAUUUCCUUGCUACUGUCUCCGAUUAGAAAUCUGCUACUACUGCCUCCGACUGGAAAUUUGCUGCUACUGUUGCCGACCAGAAAUCUGCUGCUACUGCCACCGACUAGAAAUCUACUGCUACUGAACCGAUCGAAAAAUUUCCUGCUACUGCACCAAUCGUUUACAAAUAUUCUGCUACUGUGAACUGAAGAAGCUACUACUGUCGAACCAAACAAAGUUUCUAUGUCGCGAUUGGAAGCCUUCUGCUACUAUAUAUCAUGAUUGGAGGUCUUCUGCUACUGACCACUGAAUAGUUACUGCUACUAUGAAAUGUGCAGUAGCAUGACUCGUACUCGUCCACACCUAUCUAAAAUCAACGACAAUCAAAUUGAAAUUGUGUGAACAAGAAUCAACUCACCUUCCCCCUCACCAUCCUCACCGUUGAGUCCACCCAGGGAAUUGAUUCGAAAUCGGAUUGGAAAAGAAACGAAGCAGUAGCAGCAUGACUAGCUAGAACCUCUUCUGAUGCAACCCUCUCUCUCCCUUCUGAACCACCAUCCUUAACACUGAGCCCGAACCCCGCUUCACCUCCAUCAAGGCGUUCGCCCCUGCCACCGUGGCGGCCCAGGUUUGCCUUCCUUGGAUGCGCCAUCAAUGGCCUCGGCGACUUCGUCUCCCUCACCGUCGACCUCCAAGUCCUCCCCAGUGAGAUCGAGAUCUCCUUUAGAACUUCACCGAGAUCGCCGCCAUCUCCCUCUNNNNNNNNNNNNNNNNNNNNGAGAGAGAGAGAGAGAGAGAGAGAGGUUGAAUCGGGAUGGAUGAAGAUGCAUACUAGUUUCAAAAAUUUAUGUAGCAAUUUUUGUAAUUUUGUUGUAAAAUAGGGUAUUUUGGUCAUUAAUUAUGAAAAAUCGGAUCAGGCUAGGUAUUAUUGUUAUUGGGCCUCAUGCUUAUGUCUUAAUUUGUCUAAAUAUUAUUAAAAAUGGAUUUUUUGUGUUUUUUAAUUUGGUCAUGUGCUACUAUGUAAUUUUAUCUUAUUAUUAACAAAAAGAAAAUGUGUAGAUAUGAUGAUUUUUUUUAUUUUUCUCCCCAAAAGAUUACAUAUUUUUGUCUUCUACCAACUGAUAUUUAUGCUAGAAAACAGUAGUGUCGACGUUCGUCCAAAUCAAAUAGAGAGCGUUAAGGACACGCAUGGAUCCAAACCACAUAUAUAAGAAGCUCAGAAAUAGGGUGGAUUUCUGGAUACAUACCAAAGAAGGAAUAGGAAGAUAGUAUUAUUUGUCCAAAAGAAAAAGGAGGCCGGAAAGGGAAGUCUGUUCCACGCAAAACACAUUGAGGACCGAAGGCUGAACAUAUAUGUAAAUUCAAGACCAUCCACAUAUAUGGAGAUAAUGAUUUUAUGGUUGAACGUAUAAGCAUCUGUAGCCUUUGCCUGGAUCUUAAAUAACACAUACUGGACCAGUUCGCACUUAUUAGUCUAGCAUUAGAAGAUGGUCCUGAAAAAACAACAAUGGAAAAUUUAUCACAUCACAGUACUUGAUAACUAAUAUCUCAUUUUCUUUUUCCAUGCACUCUCAUAUAAACCAUCAGGAGUACAGUACUGGAUGUGAUGAAAAUGAUCGAAUCAUUCAGACUUCGAUCUCUAGAGAACAUGCAGAAUCAAAUUGGGUUCUUGACACAACUAUAGGAAGUGAUGAAAGGCAGACGUAUGAGCCAUGAAGUGAUUAAGCAUUUAAAAUGUCGACCAAGGAUCAGAAUAUAUACCAGUGCACGUACAAUGUUCAUAUAUAUAAGAGCACCAAAAAUUAUCACAAUACAAUAGGGUUUUUAGUUUGUUUUUUUUUAGUGAAAAUGGGGAUUGACAAAAACUGUAAAAGAACCCAGAUGCGAAGAACGCUCAAUCAAAGGCAAAGUGUGAAACGAUUCAUUACAAGGCCAAACAUCAAUGUAUAAAUUAGGGUUCACGCGAACGUUUUAUUCACGUACUUAUGUUCUCUCCUUUCUUUUUCACUUGAAGGAGAACAAGCAAAUUACUGAUAUGAAAGUGAAACCACAUCCAUUCACAUAUAUAUAUAUAUAUAUAUAUAUAUAUAUAUAUANNNNNNNNNNNNNNNNNNNNGUGGUGUGUUUGGGACAUGGACAAUGAGUAUACCAAAGGACGAAAAAUUGACGAAGACUAACUUGAGUUUAAAUGAACAUAAAGAGUGACUGUAUUAUAUAUCACCUCUAAAAAAAUUGUUGUAGAGAUGAGCUAUAUAUAAAUUAUCGCCUAUUUUGUAUUCAAUUUUUUUAUAUAAAAAAAUUAUGAUAUACGUAGGUGGUGGCCGGUUUAGUGGCAGUCGGUAACGAUAGAGCUACGUACGUAUGGUGGUUAAAGGUUGAAAAAUGAGGUGCAAAUAUGGCUAUGGAAGGAGGCGAACUUCCCUAGCAAACGCUUUAGCUCAUUUAGGCCGGUCAGUUAAUGAUUGUACUUCAUAGUUGUAUCAGUGGCCGCCUCAAGCUCAGCGGUCUUCCAGUUUGAUCUGUUAGGUUUUGGUUGCAUGCAAGGCUUCUCGUUGUAAUGUUUUGGUUUACUAAUCGGGAAAAAAAAAAACAAAAAACAAAAAAGGGUAAACUGACUCAAUAUUAUUUGGUCUAGUGACAUAUUCUUCUCUUAGUAAGUGGGAGGUUGUGAGUUCGAGGACUUACGAAGUUGUGAUAUGUGAUAAAAAAAAAAGGUUAGCUCUCGUGUAAUUCUAAUUAGAUGGGGUGGUUAAUUAGUUUAGUUGAAACUUGAAACCCAAUGCUUUUACCAAAUCUUUCUGCUUAAUCAUAUGCGCGCUGCGAGCAUGUAUCAUGUAUGUGAUGUACGUCAUCUAUGACUACGUUUGUUUUUGGUUCUUGUAGUGUUAUUAUGUAUGUAACAUCAAACAACGUGCAAUAUAUACAAGAGUAGACAACAAAAAUAAUUGAUGAAACUUGUCUUGUUCACUUGAGUGCUUGAAAAUCGAUGAAAACCCUAGCCUUGUCUUUUCCGUCGAUGGCGAGAUAAGUGGCUUCAGUUAGAAAGCUUUUCAUAUCAGCAGAAGACAAACUCGUUCAGACCAGAUAAGAUUCUGUGAUCCCCAUUGAGGAAGGUGUAGUAGUGCCGCGAAACACAUGGAGGGAAGUAGUGCCAAACUAUAUGGAUAACCCUGCGUGAAGUCGCUUGUCCAUCUUUUACGUUGCUCUGUCUUUUUUUUUCCCCAGUAAAGACAAGAACAUGCAUAUAUGUGGCUAUAUGUGGCUGUACAGAACCGAAAGAGCAAAGGCUGAACAUGCAUUGGAAUUGCAAGAUAUUGAAGAUCAUGGAGCAUUCGCUUGGAGUUUUGUAAGUUAUUGAAGAUACGUACUGGACCAGUUUCCAGUAUUAUUGUAUAUAUUUAGCUUAGUUGAAGACAAUACUUAAAAUCACUCGUUGUUUUCACACCUGCAGAAAUCGCAGUACAGAACCCAAAGUAUCACCAUUCAUCGAUCAGUAACUUUAAGAUUGCUCUAGCAAUUGUAUCACAAGUCACAAGAUACAUAUAAUAGAGAGCUUGCUAAUUAACUAACAAAAACAAAUUAGAACCUACGUGCUAGGUUAGUUUCAUUUUCUUUUUUAAACUAACGGUCUCAAGAUAAAUAGUUGAUUCAUAUUAUUCAUGUUAUGUUUCAAAUGAUAGGAAAUUAAGGGUUGUUGAAUUGAAAGAGAAAUAAAAACGUAAAGAAAACGCAAAGAUCGAGUGCUUUAGACUACAAUCAACACGCAGUUGACACUAGUCUGUGAUACUCUCAUUUGAAAUCAAACUCUUCUCUCAUGAAAAACAAGCCGGCCUGUUGUAAAUGUGAGAUUUUCCACUUUUUUGAAGCUUCUCACUCAGUUUGAAAAAAAAGCAUCUUCAAGAGGAGGGAAUGAGGGAUACACUUCCAUUAGGUUCACGUGUGUAUUUCUGUGCCAAUGUGAACCGCACACGUGGCAUGAUCUUGUAGAAACAGAGCCGAUUCUGAUAUCUAAAUAUGGCUAUAAAUAGGGCGCAUUGCAAGAGCAAAAGCACCAACAGAAAACAGAAGCCAUAAGCCAUAAGUUACAUAUCCUUGUUCGAUCUCUGCCUUUUAGCCACUAUCAUCAUGCUUGGCCUAGUAAACAAGGUGGCCUCAGUAAUCCACCACCCUCAUAGCCCGUUUGCCAAGUCUGACAAGAAGAUCUUGGAUGAUAUUUACACUACUCAUGUCCAUGCUGAUGAUUCCUUCGAUGACGAUUCUCUUUUCAUCAUUGUUGAGAGUAUCCUCAAGCGUGCAACCCAAACUGUCGAUAAAAUUGUGCAGGUACAAAUCACACAUAACAUGUAACACGAUUACAUAUGCCUUGGUCGAUUUUUGCAUACGUACAAUAUAUAUUUACGCAAGAAUGACCAAGCUAGGAUGUUCUUUGCCUAAGAGAAGCUGUCUUUUUCUGUUGUUGGUAGUGACUAGCUGCAUGCUACAUUCUUGUGGUUGUUGCAGGGUACCCAAGUGCAUGUGGAAGACAUAGAGGAGCAAACCCCCAAAGCCAACUUCAGUGUACCAUUGUGCACGCUUAAGGGAAUCUCCUGCGAGGUCCAUCCGUCCAUAUAUAUACGAUACCAGCAAAAAUAAAAAAAAAUUCCAAAUUAAUUGUUGUUAGUUGCUCGUUGAUUACAUUUUCCAUAUAUUGAAUAUUUCUCUAAUUUCAGAUGCAAUGCAAGCCUCCUGGUGAAGAAAUCGCCCAUGAGACAACACUGGCAAUACUACACAAGCUGUCAAAGUAUUCAUGGGAAGCAAAGGCAUCACUGACCCUGGCAGCUUUUGCUAUGGAGUUUGGUGAAUUCUGGCUCCUUGCAGAGCUUCGUGAAUCAAACCACCUUGCCAGGUCAAUUGCAAUUCUCAAACGACUCCCUGUUCUCCUCAAGCCUUCUCAGCUGCACAAGCGCAGGCAAGCAAUACUUGAGCUUAACAAUCUGAUCAAGGCCACACUGGAAGUCAUUACAUGCAUCGACCAGUUCAACAAGCUUUCCAUUUAUGACCUGAAUGAUGUCCCCGAGUUGUCGGGAACAUUGGAUCAUGUUCCGGUGGACGUAUAUUGGGCUAUCAUGACUGUUGUGGCUUGUGCCACUAAGAUCACACUACUCACUAGUGAUGAGUAAGUUCCCCGAUCUCCAUCGUUUUAACGAAUUAGCUAAUUACUAUACUCACUGUUGUGGUGUAAGCAUUGUUCCUGGAGAUUGAAUUUGUGUACCGAUUUACGAUAUUUACCCUAUUUAAUUUGCCACAUAUUGUUUCAGGGACAAAGAAUUUGACCUAUCUCCCUAUUCUCAAAAGAUCCACUUUGUCCUUAACAAGCUCAAGACGCAGCUAACAAUUUGCAGAGCACGAAUUGGUGGGUUAAUUAAUUGCAUAUUUUUUAUUAAUUGAGGUUCACAUUAGUUCUAUAUGUGUACUCUUUGAAACGAAAUUUGAAGCAAUUUUAUUGUUGUCUAAUGCAGAGUUCAUAGAAAAUUAUAAAAAGCUCAAGAAACUGUUCCGAACACCUACUGAAAUUAUGGAAAUCUUUAAGGGUUUGUUAUUUACAAAGGAUAAUGUCCAGCCACUCGUUGAUUGUUCCACUAAACAAACGGUUUGUGCAUCAUCUCUAGGGCCAUCAUUUCUCUACAAAUUGUAACAACAAUAGUGAAACUUAAUGGUGCCCAACUCUUUAACAGGUGAGCAUCGAAAUCCUAAGGAGGAAGAAUGUGCUAUUCUUCAUUUCCAGCCUCGACAUUACGGAUGACGACAUUUCGAUUCUGAAACCGGUCCACGAGUUCACAAAGAAAGACAAUCAGUAUAAGAUUGUGUGGAUACCGAUUGUGGAGCAAUGGACCGAUGAGCUGAGAAAGAAAUUUGAAAUCCUGAAGAACAAGAUGCCGUGGUAUACGGUGCAGUACUCUGGACCUAUUGCAGGCAUCAAGUUCAUCAAGGAGGAAGUGGAACUUCAAGGUAAGCCAUUACNGGUAGUGAUGAACCCACAAGGAAAGGUCGAACACUCUAACGCUCUUCACAUGAUUCGGGUGUGGGGAGUCAAGGCCUUCCCUUUCACAGAGACGAUAGAGAAAGAGCUGUCAUCAGAUUCUCAUGGAGGAAUUCACUCUAUAGUUGUUGACGGAAUUCACCCUUCUGUGCCAUCUUACGUAAUUCACCUCAACCGAUCAAAGUGCAUAUAUAAAUUCACGAGUUAUUAUUUAUAGUAUUUGCCUAUAUAUAUUACUUUUGACAGUGCAUUACUACAUCAAUAUAUACAUUACAUAAUAAUGAACUAGGAGAGUACGGUCAUCUCCAUUAUUGAUAUAUUUUCACUACAUUCACCUGAAACGAUGAGAAACUUAUUCAAUUUGUUAUCCUCAAACAGAUCAGAGAUAAUAAGUACAUCUUCUUCUAUGGCGGUAAGGACAACGAAUGGAUUCAGCAAUUCACAAAGAAAGCAACUGCCCUUGCAAACGAUCCUAUCUUGAAGGAGGCAAAGAUUUACAUAGAGUUGGUUUGCGUUGGAAAAGGCAGCAAAGGAGAAGAUGACCAUGGCAUUCUAGGCCGCUUCUGGACCGGUAUAGAAAGCUUGUUCCUCACCAAAGUCCACAAGCACGUUGAUCCGAUCGGUCAAGAAAUUCAGAAGCUUGUCUCUUACAAGAACGAAAGUGGAUGGGUGUUGCUUACCAAAGGAUCAACUUUGUUGGUCACAGGUCAUGGUAUCUCCGCAUUGAAGGUGGUAGAGGACUUUGAGAAAUGGAGGGAGCAUGUCAAGGAGAAAGGGUUUGAGUAUUGUUUCAAGGCCUAUUAUGGGAAGGUUAUUCAGGCGGGUCGACCUUGUUGCCGUCUUGACAUUCCGGGGUCUACCGGAAAGGUUCCGGAGUCGAUGAAGUGCCCUGAUUGUCACCGUAGUAUGGAGACUUUUAUCAGUUACAAGUGCUGCCACAUUGAUGGUCCAACUGCACAUCAUUGAGUGCUGGCUGAAUUGGUGUUUACGAUCAGUCCUUCAGUACGUUAUGAUGGACUGUUAUGUUAUCUUUUACUUCUGCUUGUAUGAAUAAGAUGGGCAUGGCCGAUGCAUUGUGAUGCUUGGUAUAACCCAGACUUACGAUUUGAAUUUUCCAGCUAUAAUUAUAUGGCUAGAUGUACUAUGUUUGGUGCUAUCGUACGUGUACCUUUUGAAUCAAAUAAGACCAAUAUUUUGGUGACUAAAUUGAAACCAAUUUAAUUUUUUAUUUCAGGUUAUUUUGUUAAAACAAAACAAAAAAGCUUAAAUUGAAAUAAGGGUUAGUUUAGGAUUGCUGUGACUUUUUAUAAAAAUUGAUUCUGUUGUACUAUGAAUACAAUCAGUUGAGUGAAGGAAAAUACUUGUGUGCGGACUAAUAUGUAUGUGUGCGUCCGGACUCUCUGUUAUUUACAUAUUUUCGGCAAUGUAAAUCAUAAUUUUAACUGUACAAAAGUUGGAUUAACCAAUAAAGAUUAUCUCUGCGAAAAAUCAAUGUAAACAAAAUUCGUUUGCUUAUCCGAUUGCAUUAAACAAAUGAACAGUUCUGAUGAAAGUUAGCAACCUCAUGAUUAGCUGUCAAUUUGUUUGAUUCAUUUAGCUUAACAAACGAUUUUUGUUCACUGAUUUUUUUACAUAGGUGAUCUUAAGGUGUUUGACCCGAAAGCAUGUACCAUACCCGUUUUAUCAGAACACGCGGAUCCUAUUUGACCCGAAAUGCAAAUGCCUAUUUAAGUUGAGAAACUCGAUCGUUGAAGCAACGAUCAUUUUGGAAAAACUAUUCUGGGCUUAGCUUCUGCGAAAAAGUUCUAUGCUUUACUUGAUUUCAAGGUACUCAAAUUGAUAGUUAAAAGUAUGGACCAUUGUCGAUGAUUCUUUUACAGGGAAAUCAUUAGGGAUCGAGUUUGUAUUAUAUUGUUUCUAAUACGUGUUCCUUCUUUUGACGCGAGGAAACCAAACUUGGGUUCUACUAUGAUUCUGGGAAGGAAUUAAGAUUCUGGGAAGGAACGAAAGAAGAAGGUAUAAUCGGUAAGUGCCCAGCACUACAAAAGGGUAAAAGCUGAACGAAGAAAUUUCGACGGGAUGGUGAUGUUACCAUGAAGAAAUAGCUCUAGGAGCUAAGAUACUUGUCUUGCAUUGUGGUUUCUUUUAAAAUUCAUUUAAGUCGGCUAAUUUUAUGCAUGAUUCUUUUUACAUUUUGUGCUUUCAUUGGACCUAAUGAAAUUUUGUGCUUUUAAGCCGUUCGUUUGAGUCUAGCAGGAAAACAAAGUAUUGAGUACAACUCAUACUUAAGGCAAUCCAUCUGCUUUGGCCAAGAAACUUAUUACUGCUGAUUAAUAAGUGAGAUUGAUGUGUUGAUUUAUGUUUUCUGAAUAAUAUGUGAAAUAGUCAUGCUAUCACAUAAAGGCAAUAGCAAGUAUGAUGUCCAAUAAAUAGCUAUUGAUCAAUGACUUGUUCUGUAUCUGUUGGCAUGCUCUUUAUUGAUGUUUUGGUAUAACUGAAAACUAUAUAUGACUAUUUAGAUGAACUCAUUGACAUCUUGAUAAAUGACGCAUUAAUGCCUUGACAAGAAAGCAUGGUAAGUUAGUCAUUAGAUAAUAGACCAAAUUUAUCUUGUUUUCAUGAAAGUGUGGCUGUUUUUUGAGACUGCAUCAAUUUUUUUUGAAAUUGUCCAUUGUAAUUGAAAGUUCAUCGACUCAUGUUAUUACCUACUGGAAAUUUGCAUUCUGGAUGUAUCUACUAAGGAUCAUCUUCAAACAUUUGUGUGUAUAUAUGUAUAUAUGAGUAAAUGUCUAUAAUUAUAAUGAAACUACUCCCUUUUAAACUGUGCUAGUCUGUAGAUAUGCAAAUAGCAUUCAUAUUAGAAAUUUACUAGAUAUGCAUGUGUUGGGAUUUACUUCCAAUGAUUCUUAGCAAAUAUCGGCUAUCAACAUAAAGUUAUCUUUUUAGCUAGUAGUUAAAUGUCAGCGCAAUGCAAAUACAGGAUUUCUGGUAUAACUUGUUAUUGUUUCUCUUGGUCAUUAUUCAAAUCUGUAUAUUGAGUAUUGGAACAAGUCAUGUGCUUUUCUAUAAUUGUACAGUUAAUACUACUUCAAGCUAGUGACAUUUAAUGACAGUAUUUACAUGAAAUUUUGCACAACUAAUUGAGCUUCAUAAGUAUGUGUGAUUGUCAAUGGAAAUCACGUAAAGCACUAAAGGCUACUUUUAUAUCUAUGCUAUGCUAUAAAGUUCCUAUACAGAACACAGAAAAGAGACAUGCAUAGAGCUUUAUUCGAAAUCAGACUACAGAAAUUGUUUGGAUACUAUAUGGGAUUGUAUCUAUGCAUCUACUACUAACUUGAUAUGACACAACUAAGGUAUGUUUUCAAGAACUGAUGAAAUUUUUAUCAAGUGAUGCUUAAGUGCAUCAGGGUUGUACAUGAAUUUGAUUAAAGCAUGUUGCCUUGGUAUUCUAAAUAAGGAUAUUCUGUGAUGAUCACAUGCCGGUAACUAUAGUGAUAUGUCACCAAAAUGCUUCAAUUUUGAUCUGGAAUAUCUUACAUAUGUUGAUAAUCAUUGUGUACUUGUUGUUACAAUUUGCUUGUGUAAAAUUUAGUUAACAAGAUAAAAGAUAUCUCCCAAAAUGAAUCUUGUUAAAUUUUCAUUAAAUUUUACUGUAUGCAUAGUUGGUGUGUUUCUUCAAGCCUUGUGCUCGAUGAACUACAGGAACCAACUUUGAUCUUGGAUCCUUGGGGUGUCUUGGUGGUACAUGUUGAACACAGUAAAUUGCUACUAGGAUCUCUCAUUGAUUAUAAAGGUUAAGAUCAAGAAACUUGUGUUGUACACAUUAAUUUCAUGACUGUAUCUCCCACAGGAGGUUUAAACUUUACAUGGAUUUAAUUUGCGCAUACAGGUUAUACAGCACAUCACAAAAUUGAUAAAAUGCAUUUGUUUUGCCAAGAUCUUUUCUUCUUACCAUACAUGUGUUGACUGAUCUUAACACUCUUGUUCAUUUUGGGUCUUGUGAUUAAGAAACUUCAGAAUGUCAUGCCUCCCCAAUGUGUUUUUACAUACCUGCUUCGAUUUGUUCGAUAUAUGUGUUGCAUUAAUACUUGUUUUACAGCGCUGGGAGCAUCCUGGUAUGCAUCUGUCUAUGUUUUGAGAUUUUAUUGAACUUUGUUUCAAUUCAAUUGCAAGAACCCUAGAUGAUCUCCUGGGGGGUACUUAAGCUUUAGGAUAGAUGCCCAGAUGAAACUUAUCAUAUAGAUUUAGGUGUUGGAAAACCAUUGUUGAUGAUUCUGAAUUGAGUGAAAUGUGUUUGUAGUCUAUGUAGACUGAACUCUUAUGGAAUUGUUUGUGGUGUGCCUAUACCUACUAUAUGAUGUUUGAUAACAUGUAAUUGCUUAUGUGAUUCUUGGACAUAAAAUGACUUAAAUAAAUUCUCCCUGUUUGAAAAAAUUUAUGUUUAAAGAUAACAUAAGUAAAAGACUGAGUUUUCUUAUGAGAUGAAAAUCUCAUGGAUAUCAAAACGAAGGUUAUCAGUCACUGUUUUAGAAUCAAAAUGAGUGUUUUAAAUUUCAUAAUGCACACAGCAUAGUUGUUUAUGAUACUCUAUUUGGUUAUAAAGACACUAAAACAGGAAACUUGCAUAAAGUUGUUUAGAAUGCUUUCGUAUCAUCCACAGAUGGCUUUAAACAAUGUAAUUCUAAGCAAUUUUUAUGGUUUUGUAUGUCAUGUUUGAAGUGCAUAAGGAUGUAUAGUUGGACAUUUUCUUUUGCCAUACAAGUAUUGACUUGUCUGAUUAUAAAACGUACUUUCACACAUGAUAGGACAGUAAAGGAAAAUAAGGAAUGACCAAGUGCUUUACCACACAGGUAUGUUAUUGAAAAGAAAGAUGCAUAAGGAAAAUAUCAUCUAAAUUGAUAUACAUUCUGCAUUGUUUUGUAUUGAAUGUAUAUGAACUAUUAUGAAUUGAUAUGGAUUAUAGUCUUGUUUGUGAUUCUGGUUUUGUUUUACAGUGGUUAAACUUUAGACAAAUAUUUUCUAUAUAUAUUAUAUAUAGGGGGAGAAUAUUUCACAAUUCAGUUGCAUGCUAUUUACUAUAAGAGCAUUUGUCUUUUGGAAUGAGCAUAUUCAUGAAUCACUUGAUUAUUUACACUUUGUGGCUCUCACUAUAGUCCAUUAUGGAUUUUCAGAUAGCUAGAGAACGGUGGGAGCAUUGUUUACACUAUUUAUUGUUUAUUAGUUUUCUAGACUAAAUAUCUUGAGCUUAAAAACUUGGCAUUCUGCCUCUUUUGUUGAAAUGAAUAAGUUCAGACUUUUGAUUACAGUAAGGUUGUUGAAUUAUGAAAUUCAUGUUAUGAGCAUUAACAUGCUAUAAGAACUGUGGUAUGUGAUUUUGCUUAUAAAGAAAUUAUGUAUAUAUGAAAUAUAUAUAUAUAUAUAUAUAUACAUGCCUUUUCAGAUAUGGACCUCCGUAUUUAUUCAAAAGGUACGGAUUUUCUUAAUUGACAUACUUUUCGAUCAUAUUUUCUCAUCUCAACCAUUCAUCUUUUAGGUAUAUAUGAGUACGUAGAUUAUCUCUACAAAAUUUUAGCAAAAUUGAUAAUCAUUAAGGUAUUCAAAUUUGUGAAUUACACGAACGGUUCAUGUUGAACAGAUUUGGUUCGUUCAUUGUAAUCAUAUAGUUUCGAUACCUUAACGAUUAUCAAUUUGGCUGAAAAUUUGUAGAGAUGAUCUACACAUAUAUACCUACAAUGUGAAUGGUUAAGAUGAGAAAAUAUGAUCUAAAAGUGGGUCAAUUAAGAAAAUCCGUACCUCUUGAAUAAAUACGGAUAUUUGAACCUGAUAAUAUCUAGAAUUAAAUUCAGUUUACCCCCAUGAAGUUUGGGAGUAACUUCAUGUUAAUCCCUAUACUUUCAAUUUCAUCAGUUUACCCCUCAAACUUUUGAAUUUUCCUCAAGCGUGACCAAAUGUCCUAUAUUCUGUCCAAAUCGGACGUUAACUACUGAUAAUUUUAACCAUAACUGUGAGGCCAGUAUCUAGAAUUUGGGCAAAUCGGACCUUAUAUGUCCAAAUCGAACCUUAACUGCUGAUAAUUAAAGGUCAAUUCAAACGGAAUAUGAGAAUUUGGGCACGGCAGACAUAAAUUGAAGAGUUCAAGGGGUAAACUGAUGAAAAUAAAAGUGUAGGGACUAACAUGAAGUCACCCCCAAACCACAAGGGGGUAAACUGAAUUUUAAUUNNNNNNNNNNNNNNNNNNNNUAUAUAUAUAUAUAUAUAUAUAGAGUCCGGAUCUAGAAAGGACCUCCUUAAACUCUUAAAGUGAGGAUGUUUUUAGUUCUACCAUGUAUUUUGACAAUCAAAGCCACUCAUUCCCUAGUUACUUACCCACGCGCAAAUAUGAAUCCAACAAAAAAUUAGCCAAAAUGAAAAACGUUUAACCAUUUGAUUAGCACAAUAUUCGUUUUAAUUUUAUCUAACGGCCUACAAUUGUGUACGUCAAUUUGAAUGACCAAAUGAUUAUGGAAUUAGUUGAAAUUUUGUAGACAUGUUUUUUGCAUAUGAAUCUAGAGGAUCAACGGUUGAGAUAGUUAAAUGAAGUCAUCUACUAAUGUAAAAUAGUAGAAAUCUUUAAAUUCUUAAAGUAAGGAGGUUCUCUUUAGAUCCUCCCUAUAUAGUUUUUAUCAAGAGCGAAGCUUCGCUCUGAAAUUAAAGUGUGAAGUUCUUUAUUUGACUCACUUUUUCGUCAUAUUUCCACAUUUCCACCGUUCAGUUUGUAGAAUCUAAUGCAUAGAUCACUUAUGCAAAGUUUCAUCUAAUUUGAUGAUCGUUUGGGUUUUCGUAAUCGUUAUUUACACAAACAGUUCUGGUUAGACAAAUUUAUGGUCCGUUCAUUGAUUUGAUCUAAUUUAGUACCCAAACAAUCAUCAAUCUUAAUGAAAUUUUGUAGAAAUGAUCUAUACAUUAGUAUCAAUAAUCUGAACGAUGGAGAUAUGAAAAUAUGAUGAAAAAGUGAGUCAAAUAAGAAACUUCACACUUUAAUUUCAUAGCGAAGCUUAGCUCUAGAUAGUAACUGUGUGUGUGUGUGUGUGUUGCAUCAUUAUGCCUGUUAAAGGAACACAAGAAAAAGGUGCGUCUAUUGCCACCCCACAAACCAUUUUGGUUACCCCACACGUUGUUGAUUUAUUGAAUGACUAAUAUACAUUAAUGUAAAAUUACAGCAAUGGACAAUAAGUUGUUACAAAUUACAAAUUUCCUCUUUUUAGAAAAACAUAUAUUUCAUAAACCUUAACCAGAAUUUAUCAUAUUCAAUAUUUCUAAAAAUUCGAUAUUUCUAAGAAGUCUGAAGAAGACACUAGCAUUCAACUGAGGAUGAGGUGAACUGUUUGUAUUUUUUUUUCUUCUUUUUUUUUCUUUGUUGAUGCUUCGUCUAUCCAUUUACCCAUUAUUUCUCAUAUCGAUUUUGUAUGUAAAUUUUCAUGUCUAGUCGCUCACUUAUAUAUAUUCGAUNNNNNNNNNNNNNNNNNNNNNNNNNNNNNNNNNNNNNNNNNNNNNNNNNNNNNNNNNNNNNNNNNNNNNNNNNNNNNNNNNNNNNNNNNNNNNNNNNNNNNNNNNNNNNNNNNNNNNNNNNNNNNNNNNNNNNNNNNNNNNNNNNNNNNNNNNNNNNNNNNNNNNNNNNNNNNNNNNNNNNNNNNNNNNNNNNNNNNNNNNNNNNNNNNNNNNNNNNNNNNNNNNNNNNNNNNNNNNNNNNNNNNNNNNNNNNNNNNNNNNNNNNNNNNNNNNNNNNNNNNNNNNNNNNNNNNNNNNNNNNNNNNNNNNNNNNNNNNNNNNNNNNNNNNAAAUCAUGACUUUAAGGACUAUUUAGAUUAAAAUAAAACCAUAAGGACUAUUUGGAUGAAAAAUCGUGACUGUAAGGACUAUUUAGAUUAAAAUAAAACCAUAAAGAUUAAACAGAUGUCGACUUCAAACCAUAAGGACUAUACAAUAUUUUACCCCUAAGAAAAUGAAUCGGAAUGACUAUUUGGAUGAAAAAUCAUGACUUUAAGGACUAUUCAGAUUAAAAUAAAACCAUAAGGACUAUUUAGAUGAAAAAUUGUGACUUUAAGGACAAUUCAUAUUAAAAUAAAACCACAAAGAUAAACAUAUGUUGACUUCAAACCACAAGGACUAAACAAAUUUCAAUUCUUUUUUUUUCAUCGGUGUCAGAGCUUUUUUCAAGUAGAGCUUUUUUCCAUGUGCAUCUUAUCGACGGAUACCAAUGUUGUUAAGUUUGAGAGUUUUUUUUUGUUCUUUAAUUGUGAUUUAUACUUUAAUAUGAUUUUUAUUGUUCAGUUUGUGAUUCCACUUACCCAAAUGAUAGUAAUCUUAUGGUUUUCUUCAAUUUCAUUUUGUUUUUGGAGUUCAAUGGCUAUUGGAAGAGACUGAUAUUGUGUGUAUUACAAAUCGGUGAAUAAAGUAAAUUUAAAAUUAAAAAAAUAUAUAAGCCGGGUGAGAAGAGAUCGAAUGUAGGGUGAAUAAAGUAAAUAUGAAAUUGAAAAAAAUAUAUGUAGGGCGAAAAAAGAAUUUAGGGUGAACAAAACAAAAAUGGGAAAAAUGUAUUUUCGGUAUUGUAAAUGGGUGAACAAAGUGGACUUACAAUUAAAAAUAUAUAAGUGGGGUGUGAAGAGAACGUGGGUUGAACAAAAUGGUUUGUGGGGUGGUAAUAGACGCACCCACAGGAAAAUUUUCUUUGAAAGUUUGUGUUGAGGUUCUUGCAUACAGAACCAUAGAAUGGAUUGCUUUGCUCAAGUGUUUGAUUAUCACCAUUUUCAUCAGGAAACACUUUGGCAAUUCUGUCAUCCCUGAUUGGUCAUGUAUUACAUUUAGAGUCGUGUCGGUGGUCUUUAAGUUACUGAGUUCAAUGAAUGCAAUUUUUCUGGACAUCUGGCAUUUCUCUUUUGUGAUGACAGAUUGAUAAUGUUUGUAUCAAACAUGUGAAAUUUUAAUCUCAAGUGCACAAAGGAACAGUGUUAUAUCUAAACUCAAUAUGAAUUCUUAUUACAGGCUCUAAUGGAGAAAUUUUGAAAAAUGACCUAUUGUGGUUGUUCUAGGAUAUUCUGUAUCUUUCUAGAUAUUCUUUAUGUGUGCCUUGCCUUAUGCCAAUAGGAUAUGUAGUUUGACUAGAUCUAUGUAUUCAUAUCCUAACCAUAUUGGUAUUGUGUAAUUCCCUAUAUAAAUGGCUCAUAUCAAUGAAUAAGAUGAUGAUUCUCUUGUUAUCUCUUUGUCUCUACACUUUAUCCUUCAUCACAUUAUCAUGCACUUUGUUCUAACCCUAGAACUAAUAGCCCACCAUUUUUUUUCCAAACCCUAAAAACCAAAACCGGAGGUUCUCGGCCCUGCCUCGGCCGCCGCCGCCGUUGUCGCUUCCCGGCCGUCCACUCUGCUGCUUUUUUUUCAUCCGAUCAAGCAUCCAAGUGUUUACAGUAUGUUUAUUUUACAACCCUAAAACUCUUCCAAGUUCAAUAACCUCGGGGGAGAUAAAGUGCUUUCUCCCCUUCUUCUACUCCAUUCUAUGCUUGGGUCGGUGUAUUUGCAGGUGCCAAAAAUCCCGAAAUUUUAUUCGCGGGUCAAGAGUGUGUUUGAUCACUCUUGUUUCCUUGUCCGGGUUGUGUAUGAUCAACCCCAACCUAUCACCGGAUUGUGUUUGAUCAAUCCAAGGCCUUUUUCCGAAUUGUGUUUGAUCAAUUCGUGGCUUUUCCGGAUUGUGUAUGAUCAAUCUGAAGGACAAACCAUUAAAAGCAUUGUUUGUGACCUCUAUCAAGUCUCAUAACAGCUUGGUUUUGUAUGCAAGAGCAAUGUAACAUUCUGCUCCUUUGAGUUUUGACGUACUCGAUGCCUAAGGCGAAUCUUCGCUUGGUAUCUGUGGAACCUUUCAUUGGAAAUGAUUAAACCACAUGUUUUGACCCCCAGGUUAACAAGCUUAGAUGCCGAGAUUUCACAUCUCAUGCGCUCAAAGUCUUUGACGCGCUACAUCGACAAAAGUCUUCAAUGACAAUCUGUGCAAAAAGUAAUGACCACAAAAUACUGUGGAAUGCACUCAUGAAGCGUUUCUCGAAACGUUCAUAUAACUCUACUUGUUGAGUUAUUAGUCAACUGGAUUGCUUACCACUUUAAUUGACUACAUAUUGUCGAUGAUAUUUUGUGGCAUCAUGAUCCAUAAUCUUUAGCGGAUUCGAUCAUCAUCAAGUUCUCUAGGUCCUCUAAGUUGGUUUGGAAUUACCAACGAGACUUGAUUUUGAUCAUACAAAUGGGAAUUGUAUAUACGCUAAUGUGAUAAACUUAUUUGGGAUUAUCCCCUAAUGUGGGGACAACAAUAUGGGUCAUGGCAACGGUAGAAAACGUUGUGCCGAUGUCUAGAAAAGAGGGGGAGGUGUCGCCGGCUCUAAUAGCGACACUCCCGGUCUAGACAUCAUUUUGUCAAAACUACUCACGUCAGCUCAUGACAAUGCAACCGUUGUGGAUCUUCGGAUCACUGGUUCAAGAUUGUCCAGCUCCUUCAAAUUGUGAAUGCAUACAAAAAGAUACGGAAAAUCAAUAUGAGGACAAGAACGUCAUCCUCAUGAUCGCGAAUUUCAAAGAUUCGGAUCCUGCUCUAGCUACCCAUGACUUUGACGUCAUCUGUCACAUCCCGACCCUUAUAUUUUUACCUUAUUUACUAGCCUGAUUAUAAUAAAAAUUUUACCGUCUCGAUCAUUGAGUAAAUAGUUUAAUUGGUCCCUAGAGGGGUUUCGGGGACGAUUAUGUGCGGAGAAUUAUUAGUAUGAGGAAAAUACGACGACGGUAAAAAUGGUAAAUUUUAGCUAGUAAAAGGUAAUUUUUAUUCGGGUAUUAUUUUUUCGGGGUGUUUUUAUUUUUUUGGAAGUGGGUUGAUAUGGGUUGGACCGGUGGAGGCCCAACCCAUUUUCUUUUUCCUCCUCCCUUUCUCUUUUUCCGUCUUUUCUUUUCCUCUCCCCGAGCCUCCCGCUGCCCGGUUUUCCGGCUGUCCUCCCGCCGCCGUCCGACCUCCGUUCGCCGCCGGACCGGUCCCGUUCGGUCGGUCUCCCUCCCAGCAACAUUUCUAGACCGGUGAGAGGAGCCCUAGCGCCGCCGUGAGAGAGCGGUGCCGCCCGAAAGCAAGGGCUGUCCCGAACUUCCCUUCGCNNNNNNNNNNNNNNNNNNNNGUCCUUCGUCUAUUUGAGACAUCGAUGUACUCACAUUAGCAAUAAUGAAUUCCUUGAGAAUUUUUUCGAAGUUAUGAAACUAUUCUCCUCUUAUGGUUUGUAUUGAUUUACAAACAAGAUGUACAUUUUUACAUCGUCCUUAGAAGCGUGGCAUAUUUACAAUCUCAUGGUUAGAUUGUGCCGUUUUGGUCUCUUCCAAGUGAAGAUGACUCAUGACACGACAUCCUUAAAGAGGAUCGCCCACGUGUUUCCGGUUAAGUCUUCUACCCUAUGACGGAUUUUCAAUCAUCAAUUGUUCAACUAGGCUCAUCCAAGCUCAGUGUGAUGUCUUAGAAUUGUCCGAAAUUAAGGAGAUAGUGGUUUUAAGUGUGCCUCGCACUACCGACCCUCCACGGACAUGCCUGGUCAUACUGACUUGGAGUUGCCAAAAGCUUUUGAUUUUGGAUCCCCCUACGCUAUUAAACCAAUUGCCGUCUUGUAAAAGACGUUGAAGACUUAUCAAAGCCGGAAAAUUAUCAUCAUGGUCCUCUGAGUUAGUUUAUGUUCAUGUCAAGGAGCUUUUGCUAACUAGUCAUGGAGUUUACAACCUUAGAACGACCGAAAGGACUUGGUUUUGAUCAUACACACGUCAUUUUUGGCUAAGGCAAAAGCCUACACACCACCUGCAAGCUUCACAACUUCGCACAUGUCAAUUCUGCGAAAAACAGCAAUCUGUCCCUUCUGGACAGUAUUCAUUUGAGCUUUGUGAACAGCUCUGGACGAACCAGGCAGUGAGCUUUAUACCAUUGGAAAGCUCUACGAGUAUAGUUUUCAGAACUUUUCGCGGUUCAUCCAUAUCUAUUUUAACGAAGAAGUUAUGGUUGUUUUAGUGCGCAAAGGUCAUUCUGUGCGGAAAUUUUUAUGCACUAUCGGGAUUGCAGUUUUUCGUAGCUUCUUUCAAUCCUUCUAAAUAGUUCAAGUGGAACUAUUAACUAGCCUAUCUACUCCUUCUUGUACAUAUGUCUCAUCGAGACAUUGAGUGCUUCGCAGAUAGUGGAACUAUCCACAACAUUCUAAGGAACCGGCAACUAUCUUUGGAUUUUGUGCCUUUGUAAAUCUUCUGUGACUACAAUGAUUGAAUCAUACAUGUCAUUCAAGGAUACGGUUUAGCUUGAAUCUUGAUGCCUCAUGGCACCAUGAUCAAUGUCACAGAUACCUUCUAUGCAUUGAGAGGCAAUCAAAUCAUAUUGAGCUUUAAAGACAUUCAUGUUAAUAGUUUUCAUUUGAAAACAUAUUGUGAGAAUGAACAAGAAUUCUUUUGUGUAUACCUUCUCAUGAAUGCGGACUGAAAUGCAUCUUAGAGAAAUUUAUGAGUUAAUCUAGUGGACUGUAUGUCACUACGAUUCGAAUAUCGAAUCUCAUGUUGUCGCCAAACAUGAUAUUUGGGACACCGACUCAUAUAGGCUUUGGUUUGACCAAAUUGGUCAACCUGGAAGAGAUAUAAUGGUCCAAAUUUUGAGAAAUUCUCAUGGACAUCCAUUCUUCUGCUCAAAACGAAGACAUUUGAGAUCUAGCAUCACCAUGAAGCAUGGUGGUGACCCGGGGGACAUUGACGUCACCCGAACACAACUCCAACUUCUUGGAGGUCGUCCAGUCAAUUCCUCAAGCAAUUGAGGUGCACCAGCCUUCUCUCGAUGUCGCAUUGGCCCCCUGCAAUACUCAUUACUCGUUUUGAAAGCCUAUUCUUUAGCUAAAUUAGGAGUGAGACCCUCCUACGCUAAAUGACACAAAAGAGAAUAUUCAAUUCUUACAUCAAACUAUAUAGAUAGAUACAACCAACUUGCGGACACCUUUUUAUGCUUCAUGGUGUUGGUUGAAGUGUUAACACACUGGUCACAUGUUACACUAUUAUCUACUGCUUAUGCUGCUUAUACUUCUACGGGCUCACUACCCAUUCUUUAAAGAAGUUUAUCGGGAUGUAAGUUGAAGUGCCAUGUACCCCAUGUUCACACGCAAUACGGUCUCACCGAGGUUACGACCAAGCAACUUUAGCUUGUCGCUCGAACAUUAUUGAUGCGCACCAAUCUUUCUAUUGCGUCUUGGGGCUAUGCAAUAUUUGCAUGUAGUUUUACUAUUCAUCUACAACUCACCAUCAUUGAAUAUUGUUGUACUACAGCUGGUGACUGUGUACUAGGAUUGACACGAAAUUGCAAUCCUUGAGCUUGGCAAGAUUGAAACGGAUCUCCAAUCCUUGAGCUCAGCUAGAUGUUUAUUCUAGGUGCCAAAUCGCACUGCCACCGCACACAAUGAUGGGUCAUUUGAGAUGAAUAAGUAUUUAGGUUGGAUGUGAACCUCCACCUAUAAUCCGCAUAUGUAGAAACCUUGUCAGGCGAUCUCUUUCACCACUAUAUUGCGGAUUGUCACUUUGAUGAGACAAUAUUCCCGCCGUUAGGGGGAGAUAAGAAUACAAGUGUUCAAGUGGAACGACGUGAAUUGUCGUGGUUUGUCCCCACUAAGUCUCAUCUUGAUCCCAAAUGCUUAAAGUGUUAAAGUGACGAGAUCACAUGCUGCAAAUAUGUCUGCAAGGAUUGAUGUCCCAUCAAGAGGACAUGGCGCGACCAAAAGGUGUUGGUCUUGACGCCAUCACCAUGGAUGGUGAUAUAGUGACGUCAUAUAGUGGCAAAAUUGGUGUCACAAGGCCGUGUGGCUCCCUAAAAAGAGGGAGACCCUUAGGUUUGAUACUUUCUCACACUAGGAAGAAAGCGAGCUUGGCAUAACUUGAUCCAUUGAUCAGUGAUACUCAAAUCUGUCUCAUGAAAUCUGAAUUGUGAUUAUCGUUGGGGGAUGCCUCAAUGUCAAAUCCAAUCCAUGUAGAGAUCUCUACAAGUAUUACACUAAUGUAUACGAGGACGUGGGAUAAUGAGUCUACUAUCGAACCACCCUUUGUUGAUGGAUAUCAACUUAGUUGAUUGGCCUAAUGGAAAGAUGCGAUCUAGCAUUAACAAAGAGAUAGGUCCUUGGGCAGGUGAUGCCGACACCGCAAGCUAAACCCUAUCAACUAUGUCUUUGUUAGAUAGCGUAGUGAGAACUUUAUGGCGUAAGGUCUCUCACUAUCACGCACUGGGAUCGACUAUGAUGAGAUAUGCUCUCGUAAUGGAUGUCAUUGAACUCCACUACUUUGUCAGUUUGGUAGUUUCUGAAUAACUGAACAUGCAGCCUAUGAAUGUGAUCAUAAUAACAUCUCUAUGGGAUCAGAGAUAUACAUGAAGGUCUUAAACGGACUUCAUUCAUCCGAAUCAAGUGGUUCCUAACCACAAGAGCAUGCGUUUGCUAAAUGUAUUAAAACGCACAUGGACUCUACUUGAUUUGGAAGGGAUAUGGUGAAUUAUGCCUUUGCGUGUUCAUUCCAGAUUUACAUGGAUUCUUGAUGGAUCAAGAGAUGCCAAUAUGUAUCAACAUCCGAAGAAAAAGAUCUUGGGAAGACACGGUCUCGAUAAGGCAGUCGAUGACUGUAUUGAUGAUGAUGUUCCAUCAAUCGGCUUAGACGCUCUAACGAAAGUGAGGCCUACAUAUACUCCCAUGAUUAGUCAAGGUCUUUGCUCUAAAGAGAGAUCCAUUAUUUUGUCUAAAGAAAAAUGACAAAUAUGUGUUAAGAGAUGGAGUUCUCAUCUAAGUACAAUAAAACGCAUCAAUGUACUCAACACAAUACGAAAGACUUGACAUCUCAUUCGCUAUGAAAAGUUGUAAAGCUAAAUGUAGCUAUGCGCCCACGCAACGCCAAUGUAAUGGCAGUAACUCUUUUUUCAAUACUUAAUGGUAUGAAAGGUUAAGGCUUAUUCUAUCCCUUCAUAAGAAAGACACAUCAAAAGCGAAAUCAGAAUCUGCCAAGUUUUGUAGGUCAACUUCCACGGGACCUACAUGAAAUCUAACUCACUGGAAAAUUGUGAAAUUGGUACCAUUGGAAAGGUCUAUGUGUCUACUUUCCAGGGACACCAACCAUUUGAUCAUACCUAUCAUAUUGAGUGAGUUAUGGCCAUUUUCGUAAAGUAGGACGAAUCUGUCCGAGAAUCUGAUUUUGGCAAAACAGUCAACUUCGACGGGACUUUGUGAAUAGCUCCUGACGAACCAGAACGUGUGUAAUAUACGGUUGGAAAGCUCCAUGAGUCUAGUUUCCAAAACCGUUUACGGUUCAUUCAUAUAUAUAUCGUAGAGGAAGUUACGGCUAUUCUAGUAACUAAAGGUCAUGCUACGCGGAAAUCUAAUUUACUGCACGAACUUAUGUCUUGAGUUCACAAGCGGCCUUCUCCUCAAGAUCUAAGUGUAAAAGAUCAUUUGAUGACAAUACGGCAUGAUUUAGUUAAUCAUUGCCUAAUACCACAUUUGAAAACAUGUUAAAAAGCAUUGACAUGCUAAGUUGUUGAAACUUCCGUGAUUAGUAAAAAUUAGGAAGAACCCUAUGAUUGAUGUAAAGAUCAGGGGGAGGUGCGAACUUCAGGGGGAGUUUAGCACAUACAUUCAUGUCGCUAUAAAAUGUGAAGGGUGCGUUGUACUCUUUUUCUCCUACGAUCAAGGUUAAGCUUUUGUCCCAUAGGGUUUUUAUGACUUGACGAGGUUUUUGAUGAGGCAACAGAUAUUCUUUAUGUGUGCCUUGCCUUAUGUCAAUAGGAUAUGUAGUUUGACUAGAUCUAUGUAUUCAUAUCCUAACCAUAUUGGUAUUAUGUAAUUCCCUAUAUAAAGGGCUCCUAUCAAUGAAUAAGAUGAUGAUUCUCUUGCUAUCUCCUUGUCUCUACACUUUAUCCUAAACCUAAACCAUAAACCCUAAACCCUAAACCCUAAACCCUAAACCCUUAGAGCUAACUUAGGUGACGAAAAUACAUUUCGUCAUGUAAGUGAUGGGUUAGGUAACGAAAUAUAUUUUCGUCACCAAAGUUUUGAGCAUUUAGGUGACGAAAAUACAUUUCGUCAUGUAAGUGAUAGGUUAGGUGACAAAAUAUAUUUUUGUCACCAAAGUUUUGAGCACUUAGGUGACGAAAAUGCAUUUCGUCGCCUAACAACUUACUUUUGUGACGAAAAUAAAUUCGUCGUCUAACACCUUUGCUUAGGUGACGAAACAUAAAGUUGUGUGUCUUUUUGAACCAACUAUGGGGUAGAAGUAAAAUUUAGAAAACCCAUCAUACUAUAUGAUCAGUGUACUUAAAUACGGCUAUGAAAAAAAAUCCACCAGUUUUCGAAAACAUUAAGGUCUCGAUCCACGCGGUUAACAUUAAAUUAACGGCACUUAUUACACGAAAACGCUUUUACCUACUCCUAUACGACCUAGUUUGAUUGAUUCUUUCACACACAAAACUCUCACAUUGAUGAGAUGUAAUGACCCAUGUAAAAAUUUGGGGACGUUCACCUCUUGACGAUAGAGCUCCACAUAGAGAAACAUAAGCGUAUAUAGGGUUAACCGCUUGUAUCGGGGACCAAACGUUACCAGAAAUAUAUGAUUUUUCAACCAUAGUCGUAUUUCACCAUACCGAUGACAUCCUAUUUCAAAAGAUUUUUGAAAAUAUUGCUUUACAAAUAUCUACACUUGCAUGUAACCUACUAAACAAGUUAGACCACAUUAGUAGACAUGUUGUGGUUCCGAUGGCUAAAUUUUACAAAAUGAAAAUUCAACUGUCUGAUAUGAUCAGUGUACUUAAAUACGGCUAUGAAAAAAAAUCCAUCAGUUUUCGAAAAUGUUUAGGUCUCGAUCCACGCGGUCAACAUUAAAUUAACGCUACUUAUUUUACACGAAAACACUCUUACCUACCCCUAUAUGACCUAGUUUGAUUGAUUAUUUCACACACAAAACUCUCACAUUGAUGAGAUUAACCACUCAUGUAAAAAUUUGGGUACGUUCACCUCUCGAUGAUAGGGCUCCACAUAAGGGAACAUAAGCGUAUAUAAGGUUGACUGCUUGUAUCGGGGACUAAACGUUACCGGAAAUAUGUGAUUUUUCAACCGUAGUCGUAUUUCACUAUACCGAUGACAUCCUGUUUCACAAGAUUUUUGAAAAUAUUGCUUCAUUUUUUCUAACAAGAUCACAUUCUAUCAAAACCUUUUUCUUUUUAGGAAAUAAAUAAAUGUGUUGAAAUUAAAAUAAGACGACGAAAUAUAUUUAUUUCAUCAACUAAGUCCCAAAGUUUGAAAAUUUUUGGUUCACUGAGAUGACGAAAAUUUAUGUCUUCGUCACCUAACUACUUAAUAUUUGGCGGGUCGAAAAUUCCGUCAAUUUUUUAGGCCAAAUUUUGUAUUUGACUUAAGUGACGAAACGGCUUCAUUCGUGGGCUGAGUUUGUUUUUGUAAACCCAAAUACAGGGCAACAAGUCCCAUACUCCUAUUAACUCUGAAAUCCCUAAAUCGAUCGUAUCGAUUCCAACUUUCCAAGCCGUCUCCGCCCACAUCGCCGUCGCGUCCACAUUGUCGUCUCUUCCCUUGCUCCAUUGAUCCCAUUCGGCCUCUCCCGCGCUGAUCUCGUCUUAUUCAUCUCCUCAUGGCCAAUUUCUUUGUGAAUUUGGAUUGAUUAGUUCAACGAAGGAGGAGAAUCGAAGCCGAGUAGCUUUCGAAUUUGCAGAGAUUAUUCUAAGUUAAUCAGCAACGCCUUCCAAAACAUGAGGUGAGAGACCUCUAACCUCUUCUACUCGUUGAGUUUCAUAUCUAGGUGUAUUAAUUUUUAGAUUUUGAUCAUGUUCUGAACAAAUUGGUUUUUGGGUGUUAUCGGUUAUCGGCAGAGUUAUCGUCCUCGGCGGAGCUCCUAAGUUCUUCUUCCAUGUCUAGAAAGAGUAUUGGCAUCUUGUCAAGUUUGAUCAAUUGCUGAGAAGGUUGAAUUCGUGAGUUCGAGUAGUUUUUGCCACCACUGCGCCACCGUUUGUGGUGAAGGCCUAAGUUCCUUCUUCAGCUUGAUUUGCAUUAUGAAUUGUGUACUGAUGUUUAAUUAUGACUUAAAUCACAGAAGCUGUAUGUUUGAUGAUUUGGGUCAAGUUUCUGUUAAGGACUUUUGGGGUUGCUUCAUUAUGGAUGCAUGAACAGAGCAGGGGAUUGCUGUACAAUCUACAUCCAGAAUUAAUACUGAGUCUGGGGUAUCACUGUGUUCACCACUGAAUCUAAUUAAGGUGAAGGUGAGCUUCAAAUUUAUAAUCAUGCAUGAGCUACAAGUGUUUAAUAUAAUACUAUUAAGUAUUGAUUCGGGAAUUUGGAAAUGGAUUAUGUGAAUGGUAAUGGUUGAUUGAGUAACAUAGAAUGUCAUAUUGGGAAGGAAGAAUGUUUUAGAUUAAUCACAAGGGUGUGAUUGGUGAGACCAUGAGAGCUUGAAUAUAUUCAUGUUUGACAUUCUGUAUGAGUGGCUGGGCAUAGUUGUGCCUUUUUUAUUUGUUAAAUUGUUAUCAUUGGAGGAAUGGAGUUGAACUUCAGUAUUUAAAUUUGGUCUAUUGAAGAUGACAUACUAGUCAUCAAGAAUGAUACUGAAAUGGUAGUAAUGAUCUUCUUUGAGCUAUAUGACUAAGUUGGUAAGUUGCAACUUGGUAUUCAUGACUGGUCGGUAUGAACAUGUACCUAAAAGGUCUCAUGGAAUUUGAAUGAUAAUUAUAAAUUGGGAAUGUGGUAAUAGGGAAUUAAAAAUCAAAUUGGGAGUGUUAAGGACUUUCAAUAUGGUUAGUUUUCAUUAACUUGCAAAAACAUGGUUAAAAAUCAAUUUGAAUGCCUAAAAAGGAUUAUUAUUCUUCAAAAUUUGAGUAAAUUUUGGAUAUUGGUUUCUGGGUUUUGAGCUUUAGCAUUUAGGGUGAUGAGUAGGUUCAAUAUGAAACUAUUUUAACUCUGUGUAGGAGGCUUAUUGUAUACUGAGAGUUGAUGCGACUGACUUUAACUAUGUGAAAUUAGUAAAAAGAAUAAAGUUGAGUCCUUGGCAUCAGUAUUUUAACUCUAGAGCAUCUUAAAUUGAGUCCUUGGCAUCAGUUUAGCUGCUACUAACCCUCUUCUUACGAUAAUAUGAAUGAUUCUGUGUUAUGUAUAUGUACAUUGUACAAUCACCAAUUAACUAUGUAUGACUGACCAAGAAUGCCUCAGGAACUCACCCUAGCCUGCACUUUCCCAUCAACUCCAACCAUAUCCUUCCUUUUCGUACUGGGUCAUCACUUUUGUUCCUCUCCUUCUUCCAUGCCUAUAUUUUUUUCCUAACACAUACUGCUCAUUUCUUUGUUCUUUUCUCUUCCAAACCUGUAUAUUUUGUAUGGCUUCUCCCCUCUUAUUUCAUUUGUUUUGCACAGUAGCCAGUGUGUUUAGUUAGUACGAUUAAAACCGAUUAAUUAUUGUAUUGUUUUUGCAUUUUCAUUAUGUUUAGUUACAUGUGUCUUUGGCUAACUAAUACUAGUUGGUGUGUUGUUUUUCUUCUGUUGUGCUUCCCUAAUGAAUUGGUUCUUGCUUUGCAUACAGAUCAUGAUCAUGUCUUCAACAGUGUGAGCAGUUUCUCUUCACCAAAUUCGGCGUAUGCCAGCCAACAGUCCCACCCCAGGAGUAGCCUAAUGAUGAUGAUCAUGAUGAUGGAGGCAAUGAUUCAAUUAACAUUGCUUCAUAGUCACUUUCAUAGUUACUAGUUUAUUUUCUAAUAUAUAUUUUGUAUAUAUGAACAAGUCUAUAUUUUCAAGUACUACUCUUGAGUUUGUAUAUGAACUUGAUUAGGAAUAUAUAUAUAUAUAUUUGCUACUGCCCCAGGUGCUUUGGCCAAUAGUGGGUUUUUGAAAUAUUGAGUUCUUUUUUUUUUUAAUUUAUUUAUGUUAAUAUUAAAUGUGAUAUUAAUAAUUUUUAAUGAUUAAAUUUAUUAAAAAUAAAUAGCACUAAGGUGACGAAAGUUAAACUUUCGUGGCCUUAGCCGGAUGAAAGAAUUGUCAGCAAACUGACUGUUUUCGUAGUGUAGUGUUUUGGUAACGAUGAAUUUCAUCAACUUAGCUGGUCACACUACGUCACAAUAGAUCAUAGACCAUGAAUUAUAUUUCGUUUCUCAAGUACUAUGGCGACGAAAUACUUUUCGUCAGCUAACCAACUUGGUGACGAAAUAACUUUCGUCAGCUAACCAACCUGGUGACGAAAUUUUUUCGUCAUCUAAGUAACUUGGUGACGAAAAAGUUUUCGUCAUCUAAGUAAUGACUAAAAUGAUGAAAUACAUAUUUUCGUCACCUAAGUGCUCACACCACCGCCCUUAGGUGACGAAAUUUUCGUCGUUUUAGUGCUUACAUGACGACAGAAGCUCUUAGGUGACAAAAAUAUUUUGUCACCUAAGAACUUUUUUCUAGUAGUGGUUAAACACUCUUCCUUGACUAUCACUCAUUUAUGAUGUUCUUUUACGUAUUUCAAUAUAUUUAUAUCGUUAAUCGAAUAUCUCUCACCUCUCUUUUUCUUCUUUUCCAAAUCCAGAACCAAUCUUUGAUCUUCCGGUCUCUCUUCUCUGCACUUUUUCUCUAACAAUGUUGAGUUUCUCUUGGACCAUUAGUUCAUUACUGAAUUCAAUUAAUAUACAAUCCAAGUGGGGUUUUAGUAUCAACAUAACCCCUUCUAAAGCCAUAAUUAUUUUAUUUACUGUAGGGUUGUUCAUAUAUCAUUUCAAGGUAAGAUUUUUAACAAAAAAUAGUGACGAUUCUUAUAUGACCUAUAUUCAUUGUUGCUCAAUCAAAAUAAAAAAAAUUAGAUAGCAGAAACAACUCAAAAACCUUUAAAACAAUAACCAUGGACUGAGAAUGAAACCUUAGACCAUAAUUAGCACAAUUGAAUAUGAUUGGAACGUAUUCUAAACUAGUGUUGACGGUUGAGUAAGUUCUUGACUUUCUUGUGGUUGGAAGGUCAGUAAAUGUUUUCAUUUGUGAAGUGCAGAAGAAGGAUAAUGACGUGAGAAAAAGAUGAGAAAAACUGGAAUUGGUGAAGCAUCAUUUAAUAUAACAAGGAUAAUUGCGACUUUUCCUCAUUUUAAGUGGUUAUUUCUCAAAAAAAUUUAAAAUUAAGGUUAUAAAUCAAUUCGAGUGUUUAAAUAUGGUUGUUUUUCAAAAUUUCUCGCUCUAAUGCUAGUCCAAGUGGGAGAAUGUUAGAAUGGACUUAGCAUUUUGAGUCCUAAAGCAUGACAACUUCCAUAAUAUAUGCAGAGUAAAUAUUGUGGGAUUAAAAGCACAUUAUCAUGAUAUAUUUAUCUAAAUGAAAUGGUUAGAUAAGUAAUGAAAUACAAUCGAAUUAUCUUGUUAAACAAGAUAAUAGAGAUGGACUAAUAUUGUUGUUUUCUAAUGGAACUCAAACUCUUGGAUGGACAGAGUUGAGCUAUCCAACAUUAUCAUGAUAUAUUUAUCUAAAUGAAAUGAUUAGAUAAGUAAUGAAAUACAAUCGAAUUGUCUUGUUAAAUAAGAUAAUAGAGAUGGACUAAUAUUGUUGUUUUCUAAUGGAACUCAAACUCUUUGAUGGACAGAGUUGAGUUAUCCAAAGUGUAGUAUAUAAAGAGGUCCCUAUGCACACUCUAAACUACGUCAAUACGAGUCUCUCUCCAUCUGAGCAUGGUAACUGAGUGCUGCAUAGAGGAUCCCUUAUCCUUGGAGCUCUUGGUCUACAUCAACGACUACGGUAAACAUGUUGUAUAUCCUCAUCCUUGUUCUAUGACCUUGUAUGAGUUGUAUCUAUAUACGUGUUUAUGCUUAAGUGUUUUUCUCUUUGUGGUUGUAGUAUAACAGCCAAAUAUUUUGGGGUGCACUACUAGAAUAAAGGACUUAGGCGACGAAAACACAACGACAAAAACAUUUUCGUCGUCUAGGUAUGCAGUUAGGCGUCGAAAACUUCAUUCGUCACCUAAAAUAACUUAGGUGACGAACCAAAUAAUGAUUCGUCGCCUUAGAUUACCAAGGAGACAAAAAAAGGACUUAUACUAUUUUCGUCGCCUUAAUAGAUAUUCAGGCGACGAAGAUGAUUUCGCCGCCUAAAAUAUGAACCACUUAGGCGACGAACAUAUUAUUUCGCCGCAUAAGUUUAUCUUAGGCGAUGAAAGUGGUUACUUAUGCGACGAAAAAGUUUCGUCGCCUAAGUAAACUCACUUAAUCUCCAUUCAGUUUCUAGAUCUGAAACAGAUGGGAAAAAAGGGGAACUUGACAAGAUAGCCAUGUCUUGUUGUCAUUAUCUGAUUUUCUCAUUCUCAUUUAAAUAAUUUAGGAUAUAAUUUAUGUAGCCAAUUUUUAUCUUGAUAUAAUAUAACUACUGUUAUGUAUUUUUAUUUGAAACAUAUAUAUUUAUGUUUUUCCAAUGAUCACUUCAUUUAUGUUUUUAUUUGGUAUAACUUGUUUAAUAGGUUACAUGCAAGUGUAUAUUUUUGUGAACCAACUAUAUAUAAGAAGCAAUAUUUUCAAAAAUCUUGUGAAAUAGGAUGUGAUCGGUAUGAUGAAAUACGGUUAUGAUUGAAAAAUCAUAUAUUUCCAGUAACAUUUGGUCCCCGAUAGAAGCGGUCAACCCCAUUUACGCUUAUGCUUUUAUAUGAGGAGCCUUAUCGUCGUGAGGUGAACGUCCCUAAAUUUUUACAUAGGUGGUUAGAUCUCAUCAAUGUGAGAGUUUUGUGUGUGGAAGAAUCAACCAAACUAGGCCAUAUUGGGGUAUGUAAGAGCGUUUUCAUGUAAUAAGUGACGUUGGUUUAGGUUUGACUGUGUAGAUCGAGACCAAAAACCUUAUCCAAAACAUGUGAUAUUUUUUUCCAUAGCUGUAUUUAAGUAUACUAAUUAUAUCAUACGGUUGAAUUUUUAUUUUAUGAAAUUUAACUAUCGGAACCACAACGUGUCUAUUAAUGUAUUAUAACUUAUUUAGUAGGUUAUAUACAAGUGUACAUUUUUGUGAACCAACUAUAUAUAGGAAGCAAUAUUUUUUAAAAUCUUGUGAAAUAUGAUGUGAUCGGUAUGAUGAAAUACGGCUAUGAUUGAAAAAUCACAUAUUUUCUGGUAACGUUUGGUCCCCGAUAGAAGCGGUCAACCCCAUUUACGCUUAUGCUUCUAUAUAGGGAGCCUAAUCAUCGGGAGGUGAACGUCCUUAAAUUUUUACAUAGGUGGUUAGAUCUCAUCAAUGUGAGAGUUUUGUGUGUGGAAGAAUCAACCAAACUAGGCCAUAUAGGAGUAUGUAAGAGAGUUUUCCUGUAAUAAGUGGCGUUGGUUUAGGUUUGACCGUGUGGAUCGAGACCAAAACCUUAUCGAAAACAGAUGAAUUUUGUUCCAUAGCUGUAUUUAAGUAUAUUGAUCAUAUCGUACGGUUGAAUUUUUAUUUGUGAAAUUUAACCAUCGGAACCACAACGUGUCUACUAAUGUAAUAUAACUUGUUUAGUAGGUUAUAUGCAAGUGUAAAUCUUUGUGAACCAACUAUAUAUAAGAAGCAAUAUUUUCAAAAAUCAUGUGAAAUAGGAUGUGAUCGGUAUGAUGAAACACGGCUAUGGUUGAAAAAUCACAUAUUUCGGGUAACGUUUGGUCCCCAAUAGAAACGGUCAACCCCAUUUAUGCUUAUGUUUCCCUAUGGGGAGUCUUAUCGUUGAGAGGUGAACGUCCCUAAAUUUUUACUUUGGUGAUUAGAUCUCAUCAAUGUGAGAGUUUUGUGUGUGGAAGGAUCAAUCAAAUUAGGCCAUAUAGGGACAUGUAAGAGCCUUUUUGUGUGUUGUAGAGUAGCUCUGACGACGAAACUGAUAAUUUAGUCGCCUUAGUAACUAAAUUUGGGCGGGUAGAUAAAAAAUUUGGUCUACUUUAGCGGUGAAAUAUUUCACCUUCGUCGCUUAAGUCUCUAAAUUCGGCGGCAGCAUUUUGCGCUCAAAAUUUGGCCUAAAAUUUGGACCCAUUUUUCAAAACUAGUUUGGGCUGGCAGGGGACAAAAUUUUCGUCUGAUGGUCGCCUAGUGUAGAUUACUAAACCAAAAACUCACCCAAAAUCCCGUAGUGUCGACAGACGCCUCCCAAUUUUCUUCCUCUGCUAUCGAACCCUGCAAACCCUCCCAAUUCCUAAUCGAUCUCCACCCAAUCCCUAAUCAAUCUCCACCCUCAUCUCUCCUCCCAUCUGCGCCUCUCUCUCAUCUCUCCUCCGUAUUCAAUCUCCACCCUCAAACUCUCUCGAGUCUCCCCUCAUCUGCGCCUCUCUCUCAUCCCACCACAAACCUAAACCGAUCCAUAAGAAGGUGAGGGUUUAUGGUUUUUUUUUCAGUUGCUUUUUGGGUUUCAAACUCAAAAUUCCCAAGAAGUAGCUUUGGGUUUGUAAAUACUUCGGUGGAUUUUGGGUUUCUGAAAUUGGAUUUUGGAUUUUGUAGGUUGAGGCUGAGGAGCAGCUUGACAUUUUCGUGGCUUUUUUGGUUUCUGCUGUUCCCUUCUUUGCAAUGAGAUUAAGGUAUAAAAGAGAGGAAUCAGUACCAGCUUUCCUAGGAUUUUAGUUUCAGGGUUUAUUUUCUUGUUUUAUUGUUUAUGGCUUUUUGUGUUCACUGUAUUUGCCUCUGACCCCAUUUGAUCUUAUUGUACUUUGAGGUUAAAUCUAAUCUGUUGAAUCAUUGUGUUCUGCAAAAUUGGGUUUUCUAUAGUUGUGAUUCUGAUCUGGUGGGAUUUGUUAACAUGGUUAUUGUCCUUUUCCCUCAAGCCACUGUCUUUGAUCUAAACUCCCCUGGUUUUGUUGUUGAGGAGAAUCUUAAAGACAUGUAGCUGGAUCUCAAAUUUGGCGAGUACUGAGAAUGGCGAUAAAAAUUUAUUACUGCAGAUUAUGCAUUCCAUCUCAUAAACAAAAUUACUACAUGUUUCACUGAUGUUAGGUUCUUUGUUUCUUCUAGGAUUGGAUAGUUAUCUACGUGUUUGGAAUGUAAAGACGCGGGAACUACUCUCUGCGGUAUGUGUUUGGCUUUUAUUGUUUUUAUGUGACAAAAUUCCCCGAGUGAAAGUAACAGUUGUUGCUAUCUGUUGAAUAAAACUCUUGACAAUGUCUGAUCCGGUUGGAUUUUAUUAUUUCCUAAUUCUUAUAAUGGAAUCAUGUAUGUGAAUCUGUAAUUGUGAGUAUGAGAUUUUCAUUGGUAGACUCCAAUUUGUAAAUAUUGUCAAGAGACUUAUAAUAAAGUGGCUAGACCUAACUUAAAGCUCAAGAAUUCUUAGACAUGAACUGGCUGUUUGGGCACCCUUAGGACUUCGUGUAUAUAGUUAUGCUCUCCUGCAUACAAACAUUGUGAUAUAUAAUUAUCUAUCUAGUAUAAUCAUAGCUCAAGCUGUAAUUGAUUUUGAAAUGUGGUCAGGUGAGUAAUGAUUGAUGUGCACUGCCGCUUUUGGAAUUGUUUAAGGUUAAUUCUCUAGCUUUUUGUCUAAGCUGGUUUUUAGGAUUUAAAUUUGAAUCUAGUGCAUCGGCUCCAUAUCUAUUUCUCUGUUAUCCCUUUUAUGGUUACUGUAGUGUGUGUAUCUACUUGAUGGAACAUUCUGGUAUUUUAUUCAAGAGAUGAGGUUUUCAAAUUUCUUGAAUGACUAUAGAUCCUGAUCUGGGCACAUUCAAAGAUUUGUUAGACUAGUCUUUUCAGCUCAAAGCACUCUUUCUUAGUACCUCUCUGUUUUGAUGUGUUACAAACAAAUUUGGGGUUUUCUUGGACAUGCUUUAGAUUUGAUGUAUUUCCAGUUAAAUGUGUGCAGAUACACAUUUUCGCGGCCAAUAUAAUUUGUUAAGCUUUCUUGUUUAUUUUCCUAGUUCUUUACACUUGCCUCUUUCUUGUGCUUAUUUUCUUCAGGACUCUUGGCCAAUGUAAAUUUAGAAGAACGACCAAAACCAAGCAGCCUCAAGAAAACAGUACUCAUAAGCAAAAAUGCACUGCCCAAAUGGGAAAUCAAUGGAUUUGUGGAGUACAUCUCCGGCGGGCCUCAACCAGGCAGCAUGUAAUUUGCCGUACGUGUUCUUUUCUGUGUUUGCUUAUUCAUUUACUUCAUUUAUAUGACACUUACUGUACUGUACUGGACACUUGCUUUCAGUUAUUGUCGUUGUGUGUUGCUUUGUGUUUAUAUGUUGUUGUGUGUUGCAACAUCUAAGUGUUGUUGUGAAUUGAUGAAAUCCCAUAUGUUAUAGCUAAGUAUUGGUGUGUGUUGAUGUGUUGAAAUAAAGGGGCUUAGGAGAGUUGAAAUUGUGGGCAAGGAAUGAGCAACAAGGCCUUCUUGUCGCAAUGAUAUAGUUCUUGAGGAGAUUUGGGAGCAUGCCCGACAAGCCCAAGAGGAGGCACGACAUGCUUAGGAGGAGGCACAAAAAGCCCGGGAGCAGGCCAGAGUAGCCCAGGAGAAGAUCCUUGAUUAUGAGCGCCGUAUACAGAUGUUGAAGAAGUGUGCAGUCGCAGCCGAGCCGACAAGAAGGCCAACAGUCUAAGGUUGAUGGUUGAAGCUAGGUCCAUAGCUUUUUGCUUUUAUGGAACCCUUGAUAUUUGCUUCUUUUGUUAAACAUUGUCUAUAUAGGAUUGUAAGAGGCUAGGAUAUUAGGGAGGGUUUAAACUAUGAACUUUGAACUUGCUCUUUUGUUUGUGUAUAUAAUACCUCCUGGAAGUUUACUAGUUUUUCAGUUUGAACUUCUUUUGUUAUGAUUUUGAUUUGCAUCACAGGUUUUUAACUUUGAAUGUGAAUUUGAAAAUAUGCACAUAUAAUUACUGUGUGCAUAUCAGUAAUACUUAGAUUUUUUUAAUAAUAUAUAAUUAUAAUUUAAAAACAUAUAUAUAAAAUGUUCAAUUAAGUCUUAUGCGGCGAAAAAUGAGGAACCGUCGCCGGGGUUGGAUCCUCGCCUUAAACAUGGCGACGAUUAAUAAAUGGUCGCGUAAAAGGAAACUAAGGCGACUAUAAUUUCCCUUCGUCACCAAGUGUAGGCGACAAUAAUUUCGACGCCUAAAUAUGUCUGUUUUCCUCACCUUAGACUUAUGCGGCGAUAAAUAAAUAGUCGUCUAAGUAUCUAUUUAGGCGACCAUUAUUUUUUAUUCGUCGUCUAAGUUCUUACGGGUCCAUGCUAAGGCGAGGACUGUUAGGCGACGAAGCUUUCGUCGUGUGAGAACUUAGGCGACGAAAAUGGGCAUUUAGGCGACGAAAACUGUUUGUCGCUUAAGUCUUUUAUUCUAGUAGUGGUGGUGAAAUAUCUUCUCGAGCUUCUUGUUUUUCUUUCCGUAUAGGAAAUUAAUAUUAAUUCUUGUAUAUAUUAAUUCGAUCUUGAUUUGCAUGGCAAUGCCACUAUAUUAGCAGUAAGAUUAUUGGUCACUUAAGAUUAUUGGUCACUUUAGAAUCGACUAAAUUGGUUUUACUCAUAUAUAUCGUAACUUUCCCAUCAAUGAAAUUAAUCAAUUGCAAUUUGUUUACUUAAAAAAUUGUCAACAUUCGGGUGUUGGUGACUACUGCUAUAAAAGUGUUGUACUCGACGACAGCGACAAAUGAUGCUUUUUAGAUGACCGUGGCUGGUUGUUCGACGACAUAGUUGAUAGGAUUUCGAUCAUCACAUGGUAGUUCAUGUAUAGGUUUGGCUUUUGGGUUCCAAUUACUUGGAUUCAUUGUUUCGUUUGCUUCCAUAAUAGUAAGGGAUGCUGGAAAUUUAGGUAUCAAAGAACUAAGACAGACAUAACUCCUUAUAUAUUAAAUAUACAGUCGGGAUCAGAGGUAGACGUCCGCACACUCUUAAAGUGAGGACGUGCCUCCGUUCUCCACCGUACGGCUCCGACGACGCAGCGCCUCCACCCCAGCUGUCUCUAGCAGCGUCCCCGAUCACUUUUCCUCCCCGGCGAGUCCGCUGAAUUCCAGUUUAAAGGCGAGAUCGAUUUUGUUGGAAGUUUUGGGUGAUCUCGCCGGAAAACUGGAAUUCGGCUGACUCGCCGAGGAGGAAAAGUGAUCAGGGACGCUGCUGGAAGCCGCUGGGGUGGAGGCACGCCUUCGUCGGAGCCAUACGGAGGAGAACGGAGGGACGUCCGCACUUUAAGGGCUGUGCAGACGUCUUCUUUAGAUCCUCUCUGAUUAAAUAUAUAUAUAUACAUGUCCGUUCUGGUGCGGACGUUCGCACUCGGCUUAAAGUGCGGACGUCCGCACUCGAACGUUUCUGUGUGUGUAUAUAUAUAUAUAUUAUCUCAAUGAAGUUGCCUAAGCCUAACUAAUUUUCUAACAACAAUUCAUCAAUCAUGCACCAGAGUCCAGUGGGACUAGAUUUUCGGUGAGGAAACGGUGUGAUAUUGAUGAAAAAAAUCUCUAUAGCUUCACCUCAAUCAACAUGCGUGACACUCGUUCAUUUCAAGAACCUGGAGAUCAUAUAUAUGUCCUAAUAACAAGUUACCUUGUUGACUUAAUCGGAAUAGAACCUUUCCAACAUACAUUUUCUUCAUUACCUUAGCAAGGGAAUGUUAAGGACUAUGAUCUUAUGAGGGUCACUUAAAUAUUAUUUGAAACUUUUUUUUUUUUUUAAAUACUGACAAGGAUUAGGCGAAAUCAGCUCCUCUGUAGCAGUCUGGUGGGUGACAAAGCACCCACUCUACCCCAAAGGAGACUGCUACAACCGGGAAGCCACCACCCGUCCCUUAUCAGAAAUUUUAUUUAAAAUAAUAAAAAAAUUACAUGAAAAGAGGAAUGGGGGACUAGGCCAAAACCAUUCCAAUUACAAACCAAAACAACAUACAAAAAGACAUUGUUUCUACCCAUAAAAAACCAGGCAAUCUUCCCACUAUGAAAACCGAUAAUUAGGGAUACCCAAAUAAUCCGCUUGCAAGAAACCAUGAAGCUCAGUAGGAGGAUUAUCAUACCAAGUAAAUGAAGCAUUUGACAACCCCAAGUUUGCCAUCUUGUCAGCUACCAUAUAUUUCCUUCUCUAAAAAUAUGACUGCAACGGAAGUUCAUUUGACGAAUUAUAGAAAGAUAGUUAUUCCAACGAACUCUUAAGUUCCACGGAGGAGAAAAAGACCUGGAAGAGAAGCAAGCUACCACACUAACAAAGUCACUUUCCAACCAUAAGUAGACCCACCCUUUAUCAUGAGCAAUUUCAAUUGCCAAGAUAACAGCAUAAAGUUCAGAAUAAAAGGAACACUACCAGAAGAAAAACUUUAGCCGACGAAAAUAAAAAAACCAGGCCGACGAAUUAUUUUUUCGUCGGCUAAUUAAAAAUUUUCGUCGGCUAUAGUCAACUUUAGCCGACGAAAUUUUUAAAAGUUUAGCAGACGAAAAAUAUAAUUUCGUCGGCUAAAGUGCCUUAUAUUUGCAGAUCUGGACAACAACUCAUCUGGGAAAAAAAAACUAUAUGUAGAACCUUCAAACGCAAAAAAGUCGUGAAAUAAGAUAUGACCAGAAUGGUGAAAUACGUCUACAGUUGAAAAAACACAGUAUUCUGGUAAAGUCUCGGUGCCGAUAGUUGCGGUCAAUGCAAUUAACCCUUAUUAUUCACUAUGCUGCAGAUUUGGUUUUUGGUGUCCGAUUGACUAUUGUGAUACCUUUUCGGAAGCGUAACGGCUCUACGAGUCAAACUCAUCGCUAUUGCCAUGAAGUAUGAGCCUUUUUGGCCAUCCGAGUCCGUUUAGGGCUUCAAAAUGCAGUUUUCUUAUUUCCGAUUAGAGUUGACCGUUUCGAUCGAGCCCUUAACGUUGUCGAAUCCAGUUGAAUUUUUAACCAUAGACAUCUUUCGUCAUAAUGAUCAUAUCUGACAGUCGAAUUUUGGUUUGUAAAUUUUAGUCAUCGGAAUCACAACGUGUCUACUAUUUACUGUUAUUAUUCCCCAUAGGGAGCCCUAUCGUUGAAAGGUAAAUAUCUCAAAAUUUUUAUAUGGGCAGUUGUGUCUCAUCUACGUGAGAGUUUUUUGUGCGGAAGGUUUGACCAAACUACGUAACAUAGAGGGAGAUAUGAGCGUUUUCGUGUGAUAAGUGACGAUGGAUUAGGGUUGACAGUUUUGAUCGAGCCCUUAACGUUGUCGGAUUCAGUUGAAUUUUUUAUCAUAGACAUCUUUCGUCAUAAUGAUCAUAUCUAACGGUCGAAUUUUGGUUUGUGAAUUUUAGUCAUCGGAAUCACAACGUGUCUACUAAUGUUGUAUAAUUUAUUUAGUAGGUUAUACAACUUUGUGAACCAACUCUACAUAGGAAGCAAAAUUAUCAAAAAUCUCGUGAAAUAAGAUGUGUUCAGAAUGGUGAAAUACGGCUAUGGUUCAAAAAUCACGUAAAUCGGGUAAAGUCUCGAAGCCGAUAGUAGCGGUCAACCCUAUUUAGCGUUAUUAUUCCCUAUGGGGAGCCCUAUCGUCGAAAGGUAAAUGUCUCAAAAUUUUUAUAUAGGCGGUUGCGUCUCAUCUACGUGAAUACGUGAAAGUUUUUCGUGUGGAAGGUUUAACCAAACUACGUAAUAUAGAGGGAGAUAUGAGCGUUUUCGUGAAUUUAUAGACUUUAGCCGACGAGAUAUUAAAAAAGUCAUCGGCUAAGGUCAAAAAUUUUUGGGCUGUAAACCAAUUUGGAGGAAAAUUUUCAAAGGACUUUAGCCGACGAAAAUAUAUGAAAAGUCGUCGGCUAAAGUCGAAAAAAUUUCAAAAUUUUCAACCAAAAUUUUUUGGCGGUCAACCAAAAUUUUUCAAAAUUUUCAAAAGAGUUUAGCCGACGAAAAUAAAGAAUUUCGUUGGCUAAAGUUCUUUAUAUAGGAGUUUUACCGAAGGUGGAUGGUAAGAAGUCUAUUUCGCCUGCCAGAUUUUCUUCUCGGCCUAGCUCUGCCGUCAAGCCACCGAAGACCGCCACACUUGUCCCAAAAGUUUCGUCGUCGUCGUCUCUACUUCAUUGCUGGACAGGUGGUGCAUCGAGUGGCGCCGCCGUGAGGGAUAAAUCGAGCUCCAAAACUCCGCCGGUUCGGAUUCGGUGUCGAUCGAAUUUCUCCUUCCUCAGGUCACCAUUUGGUGAGUUCUAUAUAUGGAUAAGUUGAGUUUGAUUAGUACUACAUUCCCCUAGAAUUUGGUAGCUCGAUUCGGUGUGUGUGAGGAGAAUCGAAGAUUUGAAGUUUUUAGGGUUUAAAAUUGGGGAUUUUUAUAUUUUGAUUCAAUUGACCUGUUUAGGCUUAGAAUUGGGCUUCGACUUCUUCUAGAAAGUUGUUCUAAAUGUUGAGAGGAAGAUUCUGUCAAAUUUUGGUGGUGAUUGAAGGUGGCCGAAAAUUUCUGUAGUUUUUUUUUCAAAAACCAGCAACUUUAGCCGACGAUAUUUAAAUACUAUAUUCGUCGGCUAUAGUAUUUUUAAUUUUUUUUUAUAAGGUUUAGCCGACGAAAUAUGGUAUGUUUCGUCGGCUAUAGUUAAUUUUUAAAAUUUUUUAUAAGGUUUAGUCGACGAAAUAGACUAUAUUUCGUUGGCUAUAGUUAUUUUUUAAUUUUUUUUAUAAGGUUUAGCCGACGAAUAUCUUAAUUGUUUCGUCGGCUAAAGUUUGGGAAAAAACCCGACGACAUGUUUUUCGUCGGCUAAACUGUGGGACUAUAGCCGACGAAAUUUUUUUUUCGUCGGCUAAAGUCAUCGCCGACGACCUUUUCCCGACGAAAUCUUAGCCGUCGAAUUAAAUUAACAGGCCGACGAAAUUUUUUCGUCGGCUAAAGUGCUUGUCCUGGUAGUGUUUCCUACAUACAUUUUCUUCAUUACCUUAGCAAGGGAAUGUUAAUUAAGGACUAUGAUCUUAUGAGGGUCAUUAAUUACCUUACAUUUUCUCAGUUAUUUGAAACAUAUAUCUAUUGUUUGGAGACAAAUUUAAGUAGCAUGUGGUUUGUACGUAAGCGUAUGAUCUCUUACUAAGUCUUUUUGUUCGUGUAGUAUUGUGACGUACGUAAUGACAUCAACCAACGUGUAACACAAAGUGAUCGAGAGUAGAUAUCGAUCGAGAUCUAGAAAAAUAAUCGAUGAAACUUGUCUUGUUCAGUUCACUGCUUAACGAAAAGCAAAACCCUAAUUGUCUAUUUUAAGUACAAGUUUGAACAUGAAAUUAAUAGUUUGAGAUAUGAUCUUGAAGGGUGGAACUACUUUUGUCAUCUGGAUUCUUCUUUUAAGCAGUAUAUAUUCUUGUAGUAAAACCCAAAUUAAGUCAUAUGAAUAAGAACUAUUGUCUACACUCGUAGAAGCUCAUUCAUAAUUGUGCAUAUUUCUCCCAAACAGUCCUUAUUCACAUUAAUUUCUGUCUCCUCACAAAUAAUAUACAAGUAACAAGAGGAAUAAAAAUCCAGUAGCAAUGGAGGGAUUGGAGGGCAUCGAUCCAGACCACAAAUCAUUGGCCGGGAAAAAAAAAGCUAGGGUUUUCCAUCCCACGCAAAACACAUUGAGGAAUGUAAUGCCAAACCCCGUAAGGUUGCAGCAUCUUUUUCCCCAGUAAAGACUAAAACAUGCCAGCUACUAGUAAAGGCUCAAUAUGUGAGACUGGGAAUAUGGAAAUCAAUCAGAUGAUCGCUAUUGAGAAUCUGAGAUGAUCGAUUAUGAAAUGGUUGCACGGUUCCCAAACAACUGGAACAUUUUCUUUGUAGUUUAGCCUUUACUGAAUAGACGUACUGGACCAGUUUGCACUUGGUUUUCUAGUUAGCUAGUAGUUGAAGACAAUAGUUCAUAAAACCAGUCAUUGUUUUGCUCCUGCAGAAAUGGCACUACAUGCAUGUGAAUAUCUUUGGAAUCUUUUUAUCGAUCAUUACUACCUCCAGCAUAUAUAUAACAAAGGCAAGGGUUUCGUUAUUCGUAGUGUACACUAAUAGAAAUUUCCCCAUUGGGGACUGAUAGGAUUAAGUCCCUAUUGUGGACAAUGCACACUGAUAUAUAAGAGCGUAAAAUGCUAUUAGCACCCCUACAACCACUCUUAAGGGAUCAGUUCCCUCUAUAGCAGGUGCUAUUGGAGCAUUAGACACUGAUGAAACAUCAGUGUAAAGUUAUAUGAAAAGUUAAAAGUCUACUGGUGUCAUUGCUGCCGACGACUUUAAUUACCAGAAGAGUGCGAAUGAAGAACUGAGAUUCAGUAACAAGGAAUUUAGGAACUCAUCGAAAAGAAAAAGGAAUUUAGGAACUUGUCCUUACCACCAUCAUGAACUGAUAUUAGUUAGACAAGAAGGGAAGAUAUAUAGAGUGACAUGUGCUAAGCAAGACCUAACAUUUCGAUUCUACAAUCUAAUAAACCAGAAAGUUCGGCUGCACCAGCACCGCACCAGCACCACAAUUUAUAUCCAAAUGUUAAUGAACACUAGUCUCAACAUCGAUCUGCAAAGUGUGCCGAGUUUUUUGUCAAUUAAAACAACCAAAUGGUGUAGAAGUAGCUAAAUUUUACAUUAGGUAAAGAUUGUAAGAACAAAAUACAUUAUUGUCCCACGUUCUUCAUUUGGUUUCCUUUUCGUACGUAGUAGAACUUUUGAAGCUUGUCAUCUAUCUUUGAAGGAGUGGUGGAGCUAGCAGUAGAAGACUGGUUACACAGUAGGCUGGUACUUGUUUUUAUAUAUAGAUUCUUGCACAUUAUAACACAGUAGACCCUUUGCUGUUUCUCACCGUACGUUAGUCCAUCAUACAUUUGAUUAAGCACAUCUAGCAGAAUUUACUCAAUUUUGUUUUCAUGCAAUGCUAGAAUAAUAGAGUGAACUAGCGAGAAUAAAAUGGAAAGAAUUAUUUAUUAUAAAAUAAUUGAGUAGCCUCCUGCUACUGUGAGAUAGCUAAACUACAUAUUAUCUAUACCUCUUCAUCCAACAUUUAUAACAGAAUUAUUCUAUGCAAGGUGCCAUUUCGGGUUACCCCAAUCUCUAGUUCUUCGUCUUUUUCUAGCUCAACGUCGAGCUGCAUGCUGAGAUAAGUACACCCUGUGGCUUCUGUCGCGCGAUCGAGAAGAAGAAGAAGUAAUCUGUCGAGCGAGAAAUGGGAAAAACCUCUGGUUUCGAAAAGGAAGGAAAGAAGAAAGGAAAAUGGUCUGGUACCAGAUUCUCAAGGACUACGUCAAGAACCACGGUACAGGCAAAUGGGGCAAAAUAGCAAAGGAGAUUGGCAAGUUCAUAAUUUCCUUCAUAUAUACCUACUUUCGACAUACAUCGUUGUGCUUAAUCAAUAAUGUAAUCGCCGUUGUUUCUGAAAUUUUCAAUUAAUUCAAUUAAUUACCGACGGCCCUGUGUAGCUUACGCGGAAUUCGCAUGCAUGUAUUGGAAGCCAAAAUUACAAAUUUACGCCAGUAGCGAAUGGAUUAAUUGGUAAAUUGGUUGCUCAAUUAAUCAUUGGUUAAUUAACUGCGUGUGCAGGUCUGGGGAGAUGUGGGAAGAGUGUGAGACUGAGAUGGUUGAAUUAUCUAAGGCCCGAUAUCAAGCAUGGCAACAUUAGGGAAGAUGAAGAAGAUCUAAUUAUCAGGAUGCACAAGCUUGUAGGCAAAAGGUACUAAUAUAAUAAAUUUCUUCCUCUUAUCAUGAAAGUCCCGCAGAUCUAAUUUUAAAUUUAAGCUUAGUAUUCGUAAUUACUUACGAACAUUUGCAUAUUUGAUCAAUAUUUGGUUUCAUUUUUUUUUUUUUAAUUUUUUUAGAAUUCAAAGAAAAAAUACUUGCCUCAUUUCAGAGCUUAAUACAAAGUAGACUUGUGCAGGUGGUCAUUGAUAGCAGGAAGAAUUCCGGGUCGAACUGACAAUGAAAUAAAGAACUACUGGAUCUCCACUCUAAGUAAGAAGCUGGCAGAAGAAAAAAGAAAGAAACCAGAAGUGCCGAGAAACGAGAUUGCCAAGGAGAGCUUGCCAUCCCCCAUUGAGGUCGACGAUGGUCAUCCACAUCCGACCAUAUGCAAUGAAGUUCCUGGAGGAGGAGGAGGAUUGAUGUGUUUUGCCAGUAAUGUUAAUGUAGAAGAAGAUCAUCAGCAUCAGAGUUCUGAUACCGAUAACAGUACUACAAUGAGUGCCAGAGUGGGAGUCCGAAUCAGAGGCGUGGCAAACAAUGUUCAACCAACCGGGGACGAUCUCAGUGAUGACGCUAUGCCCUGGAACGAUUGGAUAAUGGAUCUGAACGAAGGGCAACUCGACCUAUCUGAAUUUCUCCAAACUGAUUUUUCGAACUUUUGGGAAGAAUCAGAUAUGUUCAUGAACUUUGAAGUCGGAGGUUGCAGCACCAUUAACCAUGAGUGGCCGAAUAAUUAGGGUGGUUAAAUAUCUUCCCGAGCUUCUUGUUUUUCUUUCCGUAUCGGAAAUAUUGAUUCUUGCAUAUAUUCAUUCUUGAUUUGCAUGGCAAUGCGGCCACUAUAUUAGUAAUAAGAUUAUUGAUCACUUUAGAAUCAACUAAUUAAAAGUUUUACUCAUAUAUAUUGUAAUUUUCCUAUCAAUGAGAUUAAUCAAUUGCAAUUUGUUUACUUCAAACAGUGUCAACAUUCGGGUGCUGGUGACUCUACUGCUAUGGUGCUUUUCAGAUGACCGUGGCUGGUUGUUCGACAUAGUUGAUAGGGUUUUUGGGUUUACUUGGAUUCAUUGUUUCGUAUGCUUCCAUAAUAGUAAGGGAUGCUGGAAAUUUAGGUAUCAAUCAAAGAACUAAGACAGACAUAACUCCUUAUGAAUUAUUUCAAUAUAAUGUUGCCUACCUAAUUUUCUAACUUCACCAAUCAUGCACCAGAAUCCAGUACUGGCCGGGUCAAGAUUUUCAGUGGGGAAAACGGUGUGAUGUUGAUNNNNNNNNNNNNNNNNNNNNGUUAGAAAGGGAUGAUUCUAUCUUUGGCUAAAAACCAAAAGGGAUUGAGAAUUGGUGGUUUACGAAUCUGGGUAGUUAUUAAUUCUUGAAGAUUUGUAAUUCUGGGACAAGUUCAAAUUGAGGGCCCUUCUUGAGCUGAUACGGCAGCCUUGAAUUUUCAGAGGAAGACGAACUGAACCUGUUUUUUUUUUCUUUUUUCUUUUUUUUUUGUGUGGCUGAAAACUCUGUUUUAAUCUCAGCCCUCCAACAAUGUUAAAACAAAUCAGACGGCUAUGACCCUAUCCCUUGAAAAGACCCAAAAAAAAAGGAUCCCUCAUUAAGGUAUAUGUAUGUAUGUAUGUAUGUAUAUCCCUAAUAAUAAGAAGCUACCUUGUUGAAUUGAUUGGAACAGAUCACCUUUCCUCACAUUUUCUUCAUUACCUUAGCAAGGGAAUGUUAAGGACUAUGAUCUUAUGAGGGUCACGUAAUUAUUAUUUGAAAUUAUUUAAUCUUCUUCUAAUUCAUCAAAUUUAUGUAUGCUCAAUAAUGUGCUCAAAACAAAAACAAAAACAAAAACUAGAAUUUGUCAAAGACAGAAAGCUAGCGAUGUGAAACCACAUGUCAUCCACAUAUAUCUAUUGUUUGGAGACAAAUUUAAGUAGUGUGGUUUGUACGUACGUAAGCGAUGUUACGUAAGCGAUAGACAAAUUUGAUCUAUUCUUUUUGUUUGUGUAGUGAUGUUACGUACGUAAUGACAUCAACCAACAUGUAACACAAAGUGAUAUAUCGAUCGAGAGCUAGAAAAAUAACUGAUGAAACUUUGUCAUGUUCUCUUCAUUGCUUAACUAAAACCAAAACCCUAAUUGUCUUUUUUACGUAGAAUUUUGAACAUGAAAUUAAUGGUUUGAGAUAUGAUCUUGAAGGGUGCAUGGAACCACUUUUGUCAUCCGCAUUCUUCUUUUAAGUAGUAUUAAUCUUGUAGUAAAACCCAAAUUAAGUCAUAUGAAUAAGCUCGUAGAAGUUCAUUCAUAAUUGUGCAUAUUUCUGAAAAUGACUGCAUAAAUUAAUGCAACUUUUGAAGUUUUCUCCCAAACAGUCCCCAUUCACAUUAAUUUCUGUACGUCUCCUCACAAAUAAUAUACAAGUAAACAGAUAGCGUGAGGAAUAAAAAUCCAAUAGCAAUGGAGGAGGGGAUUGGAGGGCAUCGAUCCAGACCACAACUCAAUGGCCUGAAAAAAACGAAGGAAAAAUGGGUUUUCCAUCCCAUGCAAAACACAUUGAGGCCAACACGCGUAAGGUUGCAGCAUCUUUUUCCCCAGGAAAAGACUAAAACAUGCCAGCUACUAGUAAAGGCUCAACAUGUGAAUGUGUGAAUAUGGAAACCAAUCAGAUGAUCGAUAUCGAGAAUCUGAGAUAAUGAAAUGGUUGCAUGGUUCCCAAACAACUGGAGCAUUUGCUUGUUCUUUAGCACAUACUGAAUAGUGAUAGGGGCUUAACCCUACCAAUGGAAUCGAGAAAGGGAGGAGCUAAAACUAACAGAAAAUGGAAAGGAAAUUGCAAUUUUUGAUAUUCGAUGGCUGCCUGAAACCCUAGAACAGCCUUAAAUAGGUACAAAAGAGAGAUGAGAUCUUGACACCUGUCAAGCAUCUAUCGGAUCAAAACAGUAAACCUAGCUUAACUAAUUAACCAAACUGACCAACUGAUUACAAUCAAAACAACAUCAAUUAGCUUCAAUUGACUACUUGUGGACUCCUACUCGGCCCAACUCAAGCAACAACCAUAUCUACGGCCCACUAGGAAACCAGCAGCAGAGACUUGCAACAUUCCAUCCCGGUUCCACCACAAACUUGUCCACAAGUUUGAACUGCUCAAAAUUUAAAGUCUGGAUAACGCUGCAUAAUAUCCUUAGCGAAUUCCCAAGUAGCCUCUUCUCUAGCCGUCCCCAUCCAAUGAACAAGCCACUAAGUUGCUGCUGCCCCCUUGUGUUUGAUCAUCCUUGUUAUUAAAACAGCCUCAGGGACCCAUUUAAGAGUAGACGAAUCCCUGACAUCUGGAAGGGUAGCCUCAGCUGUGACAGCAUGCCCAAUUCUCUUUUUGAGGAGGGAAACGUGAAAGAGGUUAUGGAUUUUUGCUGUAGCUAGAAGUGCCAACUUGUAUGCCACUGCUCCGAUCUUCUCCAGUACCUGAAAAGGACCAUAGUACUUUGAUGCCAACUUAUGAAACGCACUGGUGCUGACUGAAGUCUGUUUAUAAGGCUGGAGUUUCACAUAGACCCAGUCCCCAACUUCGAAUGAUCUCUCUGUGCGAUGCUUAUCAUAGUAUGCCUUCAUCCGGUUCUGAGCUUGAUGGAGAUUUCGUUUGAUCAACGCUAAGAGCUCGUCUCUACUUUGGAGUUGUGCAUCCACGUCUGCCACAGCAGUAGAACCAGGUGUGUACGGUUUAAUGGCAGAGGGAGCAUAGCCAAACAAAGCUUCGAAAGGUGUCAUUUUCAGAGCUGAGUGGUAGGCACUGUUAUACCACCAUUCAGCCCAAGGGAGGGCAGCUACCCAUUCAUGAGGUUUGUUUCCAGCAACACAGCGUAGAUACUGCUCCAAUGUCCGAUUGAGGUUCUCGGUUUGACCGUCCGUUUGGGGGUGAUAUGCUGUUGACUUGUUCAAAGUAGUACCUUGCAGUCUGAAAAACUCCUCCCAAAAUAAGCUCAUGAAAAUGGGGUCACGAUCUGAGAUAAUAGCAUCUGGCAUACCAUGUAAACGGAAUACUUCUGUAACAAAGAUCCCUGCAAGCGCCACUGCAGUGUAUGGAUGAGAAAGAGGUAUAAAAUGAGCCACUUUGCUAAACUUGUCCACCACAACCCAGAUGACAGUUUUUCCUUGUGAUUUUGGCAAAGCCUCGAUGAAAUCCAUUGAAAUAACGCUCCAUGCUCUCUCAGGGACUGGAAUUGGUCGCAGCAGCCUCGGAGGUCUAAUAGACUCAUAGUGGUUUUGCUGACAUAUAUCACAAUUAGCUACAAAUAGCUUCACAUCCCUUUGUAGUCCUGACCACGCAAAAUUUUUUCUCACCCUCAUGUAAGUGCGAGUCCUACCAGCAUGCCCUCCCACCAAACCACAAUGGAACUCUUGGAUCACCUUCUGCCUCCAAUUGUCAAUAUUUGGUACAAACACUCUUCCUUUAUACAUCAACUGAGAAUUAUGCAGUGAGAAGUGUUUCUUGCUGUGGGGUGAUUCUUGGAGAGUUCGAAUCAACUCCACCAAGGUAGCAUCAGUAAGACAUGCCUUCUGUAUCUCACUCACAAACUCAUGAGUUGGUAUAGACACUCCCAUAAUAGCAUUAAGAGCUGCAGAUCGAGACAAGGCAUCUGGUGCAGCGUUGUUUUUUCCCGUUUGUAGUGGAUGGAGUAGUCAUACCCGAGGAGUUUCAGCAACCUUUUUUGUUGAGAGGGUGUGGUUACUCGCUGGUUGAGGAAAUGCUCAAUAGUCUUGUGGUCGGUGUAAAUGGUGAAAUGAUGGCCUAGAAGGUAUGGUCGCCAAUGCUCAACAGCAGUCACUACAGCCAACAUCUCUUUGUCAUAAACCGAAAGAGAGAGGUGUCUUUGGGAGAGAGCCUUACUCAUAAAGGCAAUAGGAUGCCCUUCUUGACACAACACUGCCCCAACUCCCACAUCCGAAGCAUCACACUCGAUAGUAAAGGGUUUUGAGAAAUCAGAAAAAGCUAGUACAAGAGUUGAAGUGAGAGCUGCUUUUAAUUCCUCGAAGGCCCUCGUUGCUCCCUCAUCCCACUUAAAUCCAUCUUUCUUAAGUAGACUGGUGAGAGGCUUUGCAAUCAGACCAAAACCCUUAACAUAUUUGCGGUAGUAACCGGCAAGACCAAGGAAACCACACAGCUGCUUGAGAGUCUUGGGUGUUGGCCAAUUCUUCACACAUUCUAUCUUUGAGGGAUCAACAGACACACCUUUGCCACUAAUAACAUGCCCCAGGUACUCUACUUGGGAGACACCAAAACUGCACUUGCUUUCUUUAACAACCGAAGAAUGCUGUUGUAAAAUUUGAAACACCAUUUUCAAAUGUUGUAAAUGGGCUGAGAGGGAAAGACUAAAGAUGAGGAUGUCAUCUAAGAAUACCAGAACACAUCUCCGCAAGAGUGCUCAUAAGACAUCAUUCAUCAAGGACUGAAAUGUUGAGGGGGCGUUGGUGAGGCCGAAAGGCAUCACCAAAAAUUCGUAGUGACCGGUAUGAGUCCGGAAGGCAGUUUUAGGAAUAUCAGUCUCAGCCAUCCGAAUUUGGUGAUAACCUGCCCUCAAGUCCAACUUUGUGUAUAUCGUUGAACCAUGAACUUCAUCGAUCAACUCAUCCACCACAGGGAUAGGGUACUUGUCUUUAACUGUGGCAGCAUUUAGAGCUCUAUAGUCGAUACAAAGUCUCCAUGAACCAUCCUUCUUUUUUACCAGCAACACAGGAGAAGAGUAGGGGCUUGUGCUCGGCCUGAUCACACCAUUGGCUAGCAUUUCUUGCACUAUCUUCUCUAUUUAUGUUUUCUGGAAACGAUAAGGUCUCACGCUAAUGGGGGGGAGUGUUGGGCACUAGCUCAAUCUUAUGAUCUUGUGCUCUAGAGGGAGGGAGGCUGCGGUGGGGGGGGGGGGGGGGGGGGGGUGCGCAAAAACAUUUGCAUAUUUGGCCAACAAAGACUUGAUGGUAGGAUGGACUUCUGGAUUUUUCCGUUCAGCAGCCAAAGAGUGUACUUGAACAAGGACUGCAUCUUUCUCUUUCCUCAAUAACUUCGUCAUAGUUUUACAACUUACAACCAAAGCUUCUGGUGUUGUCACUACAAAAAAGAAUUCAUUUAGCCACCGAAAAUCGCCACGGCUCGGAUUUGCCGUGGCCAUUGAUCCUAAAUUUGCGACGGCGAAGCGACGGUAAACAUACCGUCGCUAAAUAAAAACCAGUUUGCGACGGCAACAUCUUGCCGUGGCUAAAUAAUGCAAAAUUCGCGACAGCAAACUAGCGCCGUCGCAUAUGUUUUUAUCAACGGCGACGACAGGUGAGUGCCGUGGCAAAAAAACCAAUUUUAUUUCUGAUUUGCUGCUACGGUUGCUUUCGUCGUCGCCUGUGUUCUUUCACUGUUAAUGGAAGGCGCCAAUUAUCCCGCUUUCCAUUUUGACAAAAAACAUCAAUUUUACAUAACCCUCAUUUUUACUCUCUCUUCAGACAAAACCCCCAUCCCACAAACCUAAUUCCUGUCUUCUAGAAAUCGCCGGUCCUAACCCCAUAACCCCUAUUUUGUCAAAUAUGUUGAAUGAAAAUUGGGGUUGGUCGUGAGAAACACAAAUCAUCGACUGUGGAAGGAGAGCUUGUCGACGGUGGUUGUGGUCAUCGGGAGGAGAGGUUUUCGGUUUUCAUCUGACCGGUGGCGGUACAAGACUGUAUUGAAUUGGCGGCGGCGGGUUUGCACUGGUGGCGGGUUUGCGCUGGCAGUGGCUUCUUCGGUCAAGUCGUGUCGAAUCUCUAGAGGUCGACGGCGGCGGCUUCUUCGGUCAACCCUAAUCGCCCAUCUUUUCCCUGCUCUUCCCUGCUCGAGCUCGCAGAAGGUACUCUCUUCCCUGCUCGAGCUCGCGCAUCUCUUCCAUGCUCUUCCCUGCUCGAGCUCGCAGAAGGUACUCUUUUCCCUGCUCGAGCUCGCAGAAGGUACUCUCUUCCCUGCUCGAGCUCGCCCAUCUCUUCCAUGCUCUUCCCUGCUCGAGCUCGCCCAUCUCUUCACUGAUUUUUUCGAUGCGUUUUGUGGUUUUGUGAAUUGGGUUUGAGUUGGUUUUGUUUUGGAUUUUUUGAUAGGUUCCAGAGGGGUCUGAAGCGCAAGCCCAUUUAAUGAUCAAGAAGCUUCGCAAAGCGGUGAGUUUUACUGUUAUUGGUUUGAUUGGUUAUGGUGAAUGAAAUAUGUUGUUGUGAUAGAUUGGUCACAUUAUCGUUCAAGUAUUGAAAUUUUUGACUCAUUGAGCAGUUUGUUUGGAGCUUACCAUUCUAUUCGCAAGUUUAUAUUAGAAUUUGUUCAUUGAGCAAUAUAUAUGUACCGACGAUAUAGGAAACUUUUGAAGUUUUGGAGUUGUCAUUGAUUGACUGUAUUAUAUUUAUACCCUCUAAGAUUAGUCUGUUGAUGGUAGGAAGAUAAGGUGCGUGUAAGACAGUUUAUGCCUUCUUUAGUUUCCUCAGAGUUGAGGAAGCUAGCUAAUUGCCUAUCCUCAGAAUGUUAUUUAAUUCCUGGCAACACUACUGUUGUACAACAUAUUCCAAUUGUUUGUUUAGUUGAAUGAUAUGUUCUGUGGUGGCAUUCAUUGUUGUUGGUAUUGAAACCCCUAUGUGUAUUGGUUAAUGACUUUGUAGAGGAACGGUUUGUGUUUUUGUUUAUCCUCAGUUAAAGAGAAAUUGAGCAGUAGAAUGUGUGAGAAACUUGACUGUAACAAAAUCAACAGAACUAGAGAAUACUUCGGAAGUCCGAAUUACCCUAUACUCUUAAACUCUCACCAAAUGCCACUAAGAAACCAAAUAGGUCACAUGAAGCCGAGGCCCCGUUUUCAUAGUUUCACUCUUCAUUACAUGAUCAAGUACUUUUUCAUAGUCUUUUUAUUUCAUAGUAUAUGUGGGACAAGUAAAAAUGGGAGUUCAUAACUGAAUGUGGUUGAAGUUUUGUUUUCAUUUUCACGCUUUUCUAUUUGUAGUUUUGUUCAUUCCGUCUUUUCUCUCUUUCCUCAAUUUAGUCUCUGUUAUUACUCUCAAUUUAGUCUCUGAAAACUGAGUCAGUAAAUUAAGUGGUCCACUAACAAUCUCCCAGACCUUCUCAUACUAGUUGUUCUUGAGAACUGGUGAUAUAUUGUUCUUGAGAACUAGUGAUAUGAUUUUUUUUUUUCGUUUUUGUUAAUUAGCUUGGGCUGUUAUACACCAGAUGGGUUGAAUGAAUAUUUAAUGAGAUUUGCUGCUGAGUUUGAUUAUUAAUGUCGAGUGAUUUGUGUCUUUAGGUGUUGUAGUAACAGAAUUUAGUUUGACAAUUUGAAACAUGAACACUGCCAGUAAUUCAUUGUUCUGAACUUGUCACUUCAGUGUGGUGAUAUUACAAUUUGUCCACCUUUUCUAUUAUGGAUAGGAACUCUGUUUUAUAUGAUUGAGAAGUUUUAUGAUACAUUUACAUUGAUACUCCCACCAAAGAUUCUCUUGACACACGACUGAUUGCCAAAUCUAUGUUUGAAAGACCUUUAUAUAUAUGUGUAUUUUAUGCAAUGGCAUUACUUAAGUAGAUUAUCAUUAAUUUCAGUUAGAGUUGUAGGCUUACAGGGAGAGGAACUGUUGAAUUUACCAUUGAAAAAGGUGACAGUUCAACAUUUGCUCCAGAAGCUGGUGGUGAACCAAGAAAGACAGCCAGUAUUCAGGUAUAAUGAAUACUAUCUAUCUAUCUAUCUCUCUCUCUCUCUCUCUCUCUCUCUCUCUCUCUCACACAAAAAUUUGAUAUUUCCAAAUGUAAAAUGUAUGCAUGGCACCCAAAUUUACUUUGAAAAUAUUUAAUGUCCAAAACUGAUCAGUAACUUGUGUACAGGUUGUUAUAGAUAGUUAUUCAGCACCAUUAACAGCGGGUAAUUUCGCAAAACUGGUUAGGUAGUUGAACACUAGAACCUCACAUUGGCUUCAUGCAAUUAUCUACAUUUGUGAAUAGAUGUGCUUAUCAGUGCUUUACACCUCUAAAUUUUCAUCCUCACUGGUUCAUCCAUAUGCUAUAAGGAUAACUGGGUAUUCUGUGAAAAAAUUAUGUUAAAGUUUGAAGUCUUUUUGAGUAUCUGAUAUCUUUUUAUAGUGCUUACUUUUGUCAAUUUGGUCAGUGUUGUAAUGUUAGUUACUAUUGGUUUGAGGUUGAGGUAGACUGGAAUAAUUACUGUAUUUUUUUUUACUGCGGCAGGGGAGUGUGGAGUGGGGGAGCACAAGAGUAAAGUUGCAGGGAAGAUGCAUGGAUGUGGACAUGAUGGUCAUGUUGCCAUGCUUCUUGGAGCUGCUAGUUUACUUCAAGAGUAUCGCCACAAAUUACAGGUCUCUUUCCUGGUUUGAAUUCUAUGCAUUGUGUUUAGAAGAGUGGUUUCAUUGUAAAGUUGGGUUUUUAGGUUUGUUAUUCCAUGUGUUGCAUCAGUUCUUGUUCUUAUGGACUUCUGUUACUUUAUAUAGCAAUUGUAGGUUUGAAAGUAGUUGUCUUUAAACAAAACAUCAAGGCUAAAAUGUAAAUAUUUAAAACUAUAUAUGGUCAGAUUUGGAAAGUUCCAGCGUAUGAGCGUGGAGGUGAGGUUAGGGAGAUUAUUAGGCCUUGGGGUUGUCUACAAUGGGCUCCUGGUCUAGCUGUCUAUUAGAAUUAUAUGUCAACUUGUUAUGUCAUCUAUCUGACUGCGAACAACCUUUAACUAAUAAAAAAGACAAAGAGCGAUAGAAAAUGACCUUUCAUACUGAAAUUUGCAGAGUUUUGGAGUCCAUAUUGGAACUACAUUUUGAUGUGGCCAGCUAUAAAAGUUGAUACACUAGCUUAAUCUAUAGAUUGCAAAGUGUGUGCAUUCUCUAAGUAGGCUUCUUGANNNNNNNNNNNNNNNNNNNNGAAUGGCUGCGAGUGGAUUUUUUGAAGCCUUGAUAAGUGGGAAGGGGGGUCGUGCUGCAAUUCCACAGCACACAAUAGAUCCUAUCUUGGCUGCUUCCAAUGUUAUUGUUAGUCUGCAGCAUCUUGUUUCACGUAAAGCUGACCCCUUAGAUUCACAGGUUUGCUCGCUUUCUCUCUAUUCUCAUAAUAAGGUCAUUGUCAAGUCUAUGUUCCCCUCCUAUUGCAGCUUGAUUAUUCAAAUACAUGUAUCUGUAAGUUCACAUGUGUUAGCGUUAGUCUACAACAUCUUUCACUCAGCACAUAGUAUGUGAAAUAUUAAUCCCCUUAGUUUCUUCAUGUGUGUGGGGAAAUGGUACUAUACAGAACAAACAUGAUAAGUAUUGGAAAUUGCCCUUUUUUUUUAUUAUGAAUAUUUUUGAAGUAUGGUUUAGUAUGAAUUAGGGUGAAAGUGCUUGAUUUACUUGAAUCUAGAUAUGGUUUUAAGCAUUAGGGUCAAUGCUUGAGCAUGCAAUAGGUUUUUGUUUUCACCUUUCACUUCAAAUCAGACAACUAAUUGUAGAAAAUGGUCUCAUUUAUGCAAUAGGUACCAGCUGAUGCAACAAGUGGCCAUAAGGCUAGGAGGGAGUCCAUAUGAGAGGGAGAUCCUGAGGCCACUACCCAUUUUGAUUCAACUUCUGAUGAUGUCACUGGUCACCAUGAUCCUCCUGCAUGAUUUAGGUUUAUGUCAUAUUGUUGUGUUUUAGAAUGUGUUAGAACAAAAUUAUGUUGGAAUAUUAUUGUCCCUUUAUGAAGCUCUUUUUAUUGUUGUAGCAGUUUGUUGGUUUGGUUUAGGUUCCAUCAUGUGGAAUAAUGUUUAUGUUAGAUAAUUUGGUUAUGAAAUGAAUUUUGGUCAUUGUGUUGUAUUUUGUUGGAAUGAAUGAUAGUUGAUGGUGGUGUUAGUACCUUGUUGAUUAUGGUUGUUGCUAUUGUGGAUUGAAUGAGAUUUGAAUUUGCAGCUUUCUGGUAAAAAUGAGAUUUGAAACAGUUGUGGUAACAAUUUCUGCAGUUGGCGACGGCAGAGUCCCGUCGCAAAUGGUUUUGGUGGGAAAAUUCAAAAAUUUUAGUUCAGAUCUGAAAUUUUUAAAAUAUCACAGUGACGGCGAUUGCCGUCGCCAAUAUUGGUAUUUGUGACGGCAAGUUCAGUAGCCAAUUUCCGUCGCUAAUUAAGCGACGGUCUUUACAGUCGCUAUUUGCCGUCGCAAACAUGGUUGUGACGGCUCACUGCCGUCGCCAAAAGCAACGGCCACACCCUCAACGGCGACGGGAAAAAUGCCGUCGCCACGCCGUCGCCGUUGGUCUUUUGCGACGGCAGAAUGACUUUUGGCGACGGCAUUUUGCCGUGGCUAACUGAAUUAAUUUUUGUAGUGUGUUAGUCCCUGCAAACAGAAUGUAUGCCCUCCAAUCUGAAACUUCAUCAUCAUAGUCUCAAAAUUCCACAAUAUAUCCCCAAGAGUUUUGAGCCAACUUGCCCCCAUUACAACCCAUUACAACUUCACAACCUGAUAUAGGUAGAACAUAGAAGGAAGUGGUUAGGGUUAAACCUUGCAAUGUAAUUUCAACCUUUACCUGCCCCUUAGUGUACAUAAUCGAUCGCUUCACUAGCAAGCCGGACUCUUAGAGGACUAAUUUUUUGGACCUCAUGCUUCGAUGCCUUGAGCGCUGCAGGGUGCACAAAGUUGUGUGAUGCCCCCGAAUCAAUUAGGACAUGCACUGCCUUGUUCAGAAUUUUCCCUUUGAGUUGCAUGGUUGAAGUGGCACUACCAUCUCCCAUAGCUCUGAGCUCCACCUCAUCAUUAUCUUCCACAUUAUCCAAUUGGUCCAAAUCAUCAAUGAUAGGAGGAGGUAACACGUUAGGAGGGAGUUGUGGAACUUCAUCUUGUAAUACCUCAAUAACCAUGAUGGCCUGUCCUCGCCGACAAUUGUGUCCCGGUCGGAAGAGCUCAUCACAGAAAAAACAUUGGUUCCGGGAUCUACGCUCCUGGUAUUCAGCUUGUGUGAGUCACCUAUUUCCUCCAAUAUUCCUUGCAGCCCCUGGAUUGGCUAAAGCAGGCAUAUUCUGAGCUCUCAGUUGUGGCGGAGGAGGGCCUUGAGCACGCGGGGGAGCUACUGGAGGCAUAAGAGCUUGUCGCCUUGGUAACCCUGUGACUCUUUGAAAUCUCUGCUAGGUAUCCCCUCCCUCAAACAGUUUUGCCAAUUCACACGCUAUAUAGAGUGUGGAAGGUCUAUGUGCCUUGACACCCGUUCUGAUGUAGGGCUUCAAACCCUCAAUAAAAAAUGACAGCAGUGCCUGUGGUGUGAACCCCUGGUGCACGCCUUGACAGCUUAGUAAACUGAUCCAUAUACAUAUCCACAGACCCUACUUGAGAAAUGCGAGCAAGAGCAGCCUGGUAUUCACCGAAAUUAUGCACACUGAACUCACGCAUUAGUAACUCGGCUAAACCACUCCAAGAGUUUGGAAAUUCAUGUUUGAACAUGAACCAGUGAUCAGCAGCUUUAUCCACUAAAUGCAAGGCUGCUAUAGCUACCUUCUUCUCGUCUGGCACUUGAUAGAACUCAAAAAAUUGUUCGGCCUUGUGCAACCAUUCAACAGGAUCUCCACCCCCAAAGGUCGUGAAAUCUAACUUCAUUUGUCUCAUGGAGGGAAGACUGGGAUCAUGGCUUGAGAAAUUUGGGUUACCUUGGUGGAAACUUUGUUGUUGAUUAUGUGUGUGAGAGGGACUACCAUUGCCAUGGUGUUGGGAAUGGGGGUUUUGAAUGGUUGUGGUAGUGGUAGCAUAGGUAGGGUGAGAUUGAGAAUGGCUUUUUAUGUUUGGAGACUGGUGCAUUUGGGAAUGGGGUGUGUUGCUGGUUGUGGGGAAGGGGGGUGGGCCAAAAGUUGCAGCAGUGUUGUAAACAUCAUGUGAGUAAUGACGUGAAUGGGAUCUGUUGUGUAGAAGCACACAUGGGUUGGGACACCAAAGGAGCACCAAGGUGUUGUUGUGCCUCAUUAUGCAAACCCCUACCAUGGUGGUUAAAAGAGUGAGCUCCUCCAUCAGUGUGUUGAAAAAAUUGAGUCAGGGGUUGCUUUCCAUUGUUUUGACCACUCGAUUCUCCUCUAGCAUGAUUAGACAAACUCAGAGGGUCACCAACAGUAAGUUGCAUCAAGGGUUGGGAAGAGGACUCAAGAGCUGUGUCACACUCACUCAUGAAACCAAGAAGCACAUCAUUAUCUCCAAGGUUCAAAGGAUGGCGUGCCUUGGAUACACUGCCUGCAGAGUUGAGCAGAGACAUAGCUGUUGAGAUGCCAUCAGUCGACGACGGAGUGGUCCCUCUUUCAACUAACGUCGGAGACCCAGAGGUUAAUGGAAGCGACCCAAAGCGCAGCAUCGGAUUCGCCUAUAAUGAUUGUACUUCAUAGUUGUAUCAGUGGCUGCCUCUAGCUCAGCGGUCUUCCAGUUUUAUCUGUUAGGUUCUAGUUGCAUGCAAUGUUUCUUGUUGUAAUGUUUUGGUUUACUAGUCGAAAAAAAGAAGAAGGAAGAAACAAAAAAGGGUAAGCUGACUCAGUACCAUUUGAUCUAAUGACAUAGUCUCCUCUUAAUAAGUGGGAGGUUGUGAGUUUGACUCACGAAGUUGUAUUAUGUGAUAAAAAAAAAGGGUAAGCACUUGUGUAAUUCUAAUUAGAUGGGGUGGUUAAUUAGUUUAGUUGAAACUUGAAAACCAAUGCUUUUACUAAAUCUUUCUACUUAAUCAUAUGCGUACUGCGAGCGUGUAUCAUGUAUGUGAUGUAUAUAUGUCAUCUAUGACAGUUUGUUUUUGGUUCUUGUAGUAUGUAACAUCAAACAACGUGCAAUACAAGAGUAGACAACAAAAAUAAUUGAUGAAACUUGUCUUGUUCACUUGAGUGCUUGAAAAUCGAUCAAAACCCUAACCUUGUCUUUUCCGUCGACGGCGAGAUAAGUGGUUUCUAUUAGAAAGCUGUUUAUAUCAGCAGAAGACAAACUCGUUCAGACCAGAUAAGAUUCUGUGAUCCCCAUUUGGGAAGGUGUAGGGCAUGUACUUGAAAAUUACACCAUAUGCAGUAGUGCCCGGGCCUUCUUCUACAGUUCUACGUACGUAUUUUCAUUUCAGAAUUCACAUGAUGCAUACAUGGGAUAUGGGAGUCAGAGAAAUUAUCCUUUUACCUACGUACUCGAUCUGUUGGCUUGCAUGCCUCUCCAGAAUUUAAUAGCAAAAUUGUGAGCUCUUAUUAACAACUUACUGAGAGUGAAAGAGAGGGAAAGAACAAGAUGAGUAUGAUUUUGCAGGAAGUGUUCCACAUUUUAUAUUCUUUCCUUUGAAGAAUGUAAUCGAUUCUUCCUUUUGAUUCUGGGUUGUUGGAGAAAUUUUAGUCAUCAUCAUCACCAUGUACGUUCUUCUCCUAAGUCUUAAGUACACUCUUGUAAGUUGUAAUUAUAGCUAGAUGGGGUGCGGGGUUUAUUAGUUAACUUGAGGCAAAUGUUUGUACUAAAUCUUCGUAGAUACGUAUGUCGUUGCUGACACAAAACAACAUGCAUGCCACACAGAGUGAGAUCAUGAAGAGACGUCCGAUUCCAACAAAAUGAUAUAGGAGCGAAACUUUUCUUGUUCACUUCAUUGCUCAAAAAUCAAAAUCCUAGCCAUAUAUAUUCGGUCGACUGCGAUGUAAGCGGUUAGUGUUAUAUAUAAAGCUCUUAUAUCAAAUUAUCUUUGAAGCAGGAGAUCGACAUGCAAAGCCAUUCAGACCAAAGAUUAGUGAUAAAGUUAUCAUGGAUUCCCAAGUAUCACAUCAGCAAAUGUAUCAUAGAUCAAUCUAAGAAUGAAAAUUAACAUGAUAUUAACAUGCACGUUAAUAUAUGACCUAAAGUGGAACCACAUUUUUCUUUGAUUAUUCUUGCAUGUAAGACCCGAGAUAUGAAGGAUGAGAACUUUUCUUAACAUUCAUUAAAACUAAAUCACAAUGCAUUCUGAACAUGAUUGCACAAAUAUAACUUAUUGAUGUUUUGUUCCUAAAAACUAUAGGCAUUCACAUUUACUUUUACGAACGGAAAACGCUAUCACGCAUAACUAAAACUCCAAGAGGAACGAAUUUUCUUUCUUAAGCCAUGAAAUCAUUCCGUCUCAUAAAUGCUUUUUUCCAGUAGGCGAUAUGGAUCCAGACCACCGGAAAAUAAAAGGCGGUGGAUUAUUCACACUGAAAAGAAAAAGAAAAGGAAAGAAGAGGUUUUCACAUCCACGCGAAACAUAUGGAGGGAACAGGGAAGUAGUGCCAAACUAUAUGGAUAACGCUGCGUGAAGUCGCUUGUCCAUCUUGUACGUUACACUGUUUUUUUUUCUCCCAGUAAAGGCUAGAACAUGCAUAUAUGUGCCUGUAUAGAACCGAAAGAGCAAAGGCUGAACAUGCAUGUGAAUCCAAGAUAUUGAAGAUCAUGGAGCAUUCGCUUGGAGUUUUGUAAGUUAUUGAAGAUACGCACUGGACCAGUUUCCAGUAUUAUUGUAUAUCUUUAGCAAAGUUGAAGACAAUACUUAAAAUCACUCGUUGUUUUCACACCUGCAGAAAUCCCAGUACAAAACCCAAAGAAUCAGUAGUAACUGUAAGAUAGCUCUAGCAAUUGUAUAACAUAACAAGUCACAAGAUAUAUAUAAAAGAGAGCUUGCUAAUUAACUAACAAAAAAAAUAAAAAUUAGAACCUAUGUGCUAGAUUAGUUUCAUUUUCUUUUUUAAAAUAACGGUCUCAAGAUGAAUAGUUGAUUCAUAUUAUUCAUACUGGGCUCCGAAUGAUAGAAAUUAAGAUUUAUUGAAUUCAAAGAGCAUAAACAUAAAGAAAACACAAAAAGUGCUUUGGACUACAACACUAGUUUGUGAUACUCUCAUUAUUUGAAAUCAAACUCUUCUAUCAUGAAAAACAAGCCGGCCUGUUGUAAAUGUGAGAUUUACCCCUUUUUUGAAGCUUCUCUCUCAGUUUGAAAAAAAAGCAUCUUCAAGAGGAGGGAAUGAGGGAUAUACUUCCAUUAGGUUCACGUGUGUAUUUCUGUGGCAAUGUGAACCCUACACGUGGCAUGAUCUUGUAGAAACGGAGCCGAUUCUGAUAUCUAAAUAGCUAUAAAUAGGGCGCAUUGCAAGAGCAAAAACACCAACAGCAAACAGAAGCCAUAAGCCAUAAGUUACAUAUCCUUGUUCGAUCUCUGCCUUUUAGCCACUAUCAUCAUGCUUGGCCUAGUAAACAAGGUGGCCUCAGUAAUCCACCACCCUCAUAGCCCGUUUGCCAAGUCUGACAAGAAGAUCUUGGAUGAUAUUUACACUACUCAUGUCCAUGCUGAUGAUUCAUUCGACGACGAUUCUCUUUUCAUCAUUGUUGAGAGUAUCCUCAAGCGUGCAACCCAAACUGUCGAUAAAAUUGUGCAGGUACAAAUCACACAUAACAUGUAACACGAUUACAUAUGCCUUGGUCGAUUUUUGCAUACGUACAAUAUAUAUUUACGCAAGAAUGACCAAGCUAGGAUGUUCUUAAUUUGCCUAAGAGAAGCUGUCUUUUUCUGUUGUUGGUAGUGACUAGCUGCAUGCUACAUUCUUGUGGUUGUUGCAGGGUACCCAAGUGCAUGUGGAAGACAUAGAGGAGCAAACUCCCAAAGCCAACUUCAGUGUACCAUUGUGCACGCUUAAGGGAAUCUCCUGCGAGGUCCAUCCGUCCAUAUAUAUACGAUACCAGCAAAAAUUAAAAAAAUUCCAAAUUAAUUGUUGUUAAUUGCUCGUUGAUUACAUUUUCCAUAUAUAUAUUGAAUAUUUCUCUAAUUUCAGAUGCAAUGCAAGCCUCCUGGUGAAGAAAUCGCCCAUGAGACAACACUGGCAAUACUACACAAGCUGUCAAAGUAUUCAUGGGAAGCAAAGGCAUCACUGACCCUAGCAGCUUUUGCUAUGGAGUUUGGUGAAUUCUGGCUCCUUGCAGAGCUUCGUGAAUCAAACCACCUUGCCAGGUCAAUUGCAAUUCUCAAACGACUCCCUGUUCUCCUCAAGCCUUCUCAGCUGCACAAGCGCAGGCAAGCAAUACUUGAGCUUAACAAUCUGAUCAAGGCCACACUGGAAGUCAUUACAUGCAUCGACCAGUUCAACAAGAUUUCCAUUUAUGACCUGAAAGAUGUCCCCGAGUUGUCGGGAACAUUGGAUCAUGUUCCGGUGGACGUAUAUUGGGCUAUCAUGACUGUUGUGGCUUGUGCCACUAAGAUCACACUACUCACUAGUGAUGAGUAAGUUCCUCGAUCUCCAUCGUUUUAAAGAAUUAGCUAAUUACUAUACUCACUGUUGUGGUGUAAGCAUUGUUCCUGGAGAUUGAAUUUGUGUACCGAUUUACGAUAUUUACCCUAUUUAAUUUGCCAUGCACAUAUUGUUUCAGGGACAAAGAAUUUGACCUAUCUCCCUAUUCUCAAAAGAUCCACUUUGUCCUUAACAAGCUCAAGACACAGCUAACAAUUUGCAGAGCACGAAUUGGUGGGUUAAUUAAUUGCAUAUUUUUUAUUAAUUGAGGUUUACAUUAGUUCUAUAUGUGUACUCAUUGAAACGAAAUUUGAAGCAAUUUUAUUGUUGUCUAAUGCAGAGUUCAUAGAAAAUUAUAAAAAGCUCAAGAAACUGUUCCGAACACCUACUGAAAUUAUGGAAAUCUUUAAGGGUUUGUUAUUUACAAAGGAUAAUGUCCAGCCACUCGUUGAUUGUUCCACUAAACAAACGGUUUGUGAAUCAUCUAUAGUUCAUUUCUCUACAAAUUGUAACAACAAUAGUGAAACUUAAUCGUGCCUAACUCUUUAACAGGUGAGCAUCGAAAUCCUAAGGAGGAAGAAUGUGCUAUUCUUCAUUUCCAGCCUCGACAUUACGGAUGACGACAUUUCGAUUCUGAAACCGGUCCACGAGUUCACAAAGAAAGACAAUCAGUAUAAGAUUGUGUGGAUACCGAUUGUGGAGCAAUGGACCGAUGAGCUGAGAAAGAAAUUUGAAAUCCUGAAGAACAAGAUGCCGUGGUAUACGGUGCAGUACUCUGGACCUAUUGCAGGCAUCAAGUUCAUCAAGGAGGAGUGGAACUUCAAGGGUAAGCCAUUACUGGUAGUGAUGAACCCACAAGGAAAGGUCGAACACACUAACGCUCUUCACAUGAUUCGGGUGUGGGGAGUCAAGGCCUUCCCUUUCACAGAGACGAUAGAGAAAGAGCUGUCAUCAGAUUCUCAUGGAGGAAUUCACUCUAUAGUUGUUGACGGAAUUCACCCUUCUGUGCCAUCUUACGUAAUUCACCUCAACCGAUCAAAGCGCAUAUAUAAAUUCACGAGUUAUUAUUUAUAGUAUUGCCUAUAUAUAUAUUACUUUUGACAGUGCAUUACUACAUCAAUACAUACAUUACAUAAUAAUGAACUAGGAGAGUAGGGUCAUCUCCAUUAUUGACAUAUUUUCACUACAUUCACCUGAAACGAUGAGAAACUUAUUCAAUUUGUUAUCCUCAAACAGAUCAGAGAUAAUAAGUACAUCUUCUUCUAUGGCGGUAAGGACAACGAAUGGAUUCAGCAAUUCACAAAGAAAGCAACUGCCCUUGCAAACGAUCCUAUCUUGAAGGAAGCAAAGAUUUACAUAGAGUUGGUUUGCGUUGGAAAAGGCAGCGAAGGAGAAGAUGACCAUGGCAUUCUAGGCCGCUUCUGGACCGGUAUAGAAAGUUUGUUCCUCACCAAAGUCCACAAGCACGUUGAUCCGAUCGGUCAAGAAAUUCAGAAGCUUGUCUCUUACAAGAACGAAAGUGGAUGGGUGUUGCUUACCAAAGGAUCAACUUUGUUGGUCACAGGUCAUGGUAUCUCCGCAUUGAAGGUGGUAGAAGACUUUGAGAAAUGGAGGGAGCAUGUCAAGGAGAAAGGGUUUGAGUUUUGUUUCAAGGCCUAUUAUGGGAAGGUUAUUCAGGCUGGUCGACCUUGUUGCCGUCUUGACAUUCCGGGGUCUACCGGAAAGGUUCCGGAGUCGAUGAAGUGCCCUGAUUGUCACCGUAGUAUGGAGACUUUUAUCAGUUACAAGUGCUGCCACAUUGAUGGUCCAACUGCACAUCAUUGAGUCCUGGAUGAAUUGGUGUUUACGAUCAGUCCUUCAGUACGUUAUGAUGGACACUGUUAUGUUAUCUUUUACUUCUGCUUGUAUGAAUAAGAUGGGCAUGGCCGAUGCAUUGUGAUGCUAGGUAUAACCCAGACUUACGAUUUGAAUUUUCCAGCUAUAACUAUAUGGCUACAUGUACUAUGUUGGGUGCUAUCGUACCUUUUGAAUCAAAUAAGACCAAUAUUGGUGACUAUAUUGAAACCAAUUUAAUUUUUUUUUUCAGUUUAUUUUGUUAAAAUAAAAAAGCAUAAAUUGAAAUAAGGGCUAGUUUGGGAUUGCUGUGAUUUUUUAUAAAAAUUGUUUAUGUUGUACUAUGAAUACAAUCAGCUGUGAGUGAAGGAAAUACUUGCGUCCGGACUAGUAUGUACGUGUGCGUCCGGAUUCUCUGUUAUUUACAUACUUUCGGCAAUGUAAAUCAUAAUUUUAACCGUUCAAAAAUUGGAUUAACCAAUAAAGAUCAUUUCUGCAAAAAAUCAAUGUAAACAAAAUUCGUUUGCUCACCCAAUUGUAUUAAACAAAUGAACAGUUCUGGUAAAAGUUAUCAGCCUCAUGAUUAUCCGUCAAUUUGUUUGAUUCAUUCGACUUAGCAAACGAUUUUUGUUUACACUGAUUUUUUGCAUAGGUGUUUUUUUUUUGAAUAAUUGAAUUUUAUUACUAAAUACGAUUCAAAUUGUACAUGAGGGCAUCCAGUAUAAAGUAUGGAGCAUGAGAAAACUACUCAAGGUGGAUAUUAGACUCAAAACCAUAGUUAGCUAGUCUGUGUGCUACCAAAUUGGUCUGCCUGGGAGCAAAAUGCAAACUAAAACCUUUGUUUGCAGCUAGAGUCUCUUUGAUCUCCAAAAUAAGACCACUGAGAGGGGAUAAAUCAUCCUCAGGAGAGUUGAGAGUAGUCACCGCUACCAAACAAUCACUCUCCACAAUAGCAUCAGCAAUAUGCAUAGCUUGAAGAACAUCUGUCCCAUACCUUAUAGCUUCCAAUUCAAAAUGAAGAGAUGAACUAACAUGUUCCAUGCGGUGUGCAAAACCAUCUAAGAACUGACUCUGAGAGUCUCGAAGCACACCUCAAAACCACCUUGAGUGACAUCAGGAAGGAAGGAACCAUCCACAUUGAGUUUCACAACUGACCCCAAAGGAGGUUGCCACUGUUUUCUCAGUUUCUGUCGAGUAGAAGCUGUUGUACCAGAAGAGACUGAUUGUGCUUUAAGGUAUUCCUCAUACCAUGACAUGGCAGCUAUAACAACUUGAUCAGGAUUCUUGCCAUUAUCUCUCCAUAAUAUCUCAUUCCGGUUUCGCCAAAUACUCCCAAGGAGGAUUAGAAACGUCACUACGCCAAAAAAGAGUUUUUACGGCCGACAAUGCGUGCCGUAAAAGUCUUUUUACGGUGUACAAAAGUAGGCAGUAAAAGCUCAGGUCGUAAAAGACCAAUAUCUUUUACGACGUGCAAAAAUACUUCAUAAAAAAACAAUUAACACGCCGUAAAAGUGAUUCCAUAAAUGUUAUUUAGGUCAUUUAUGACCCUCUUUUGCUCACCGUAAGAAUAUUUAAAGGCGUACACAGCAUGCCGUGAAAGAGUGACUAAACUCCUAAUUAAGGCACACACUGCAGGCCGUAAAUAAGGUAUGUUCAAAUAAAAAAAAAUACUUCUUACUCAAAUGUCAUACUCAAAUUACCAUCAAUAUAACUAAUGUCAUUUACAAAGUAACAAUUCAUAAUGUAUUAAUAUAACUCACUAGUCAAUGACCAGCCGCGCCCUGCUGCAGCCUUUUUUAUGGUCUGUUUCUUGAGUAAUAUUUCUUUCCGUAUAGAAUGCUUAACCUAUGAAGAAUUUGUAUACCUAAGAGCAUCUACUCCUCUUUCAAGCACUGGAUCAAGUUCAACACAUGCAUUCGUCAUGACCUCUUUCCUCCCAUGUUCGGCACUGCCAACUCUUUUACAUGCAGACUCACUUGUGUGAGUACUGGGGCUUGUAACUGAGAAAACUUCAUUCUCACCCACACUACUCUGACUGAGGGGUGAAGGAGGAAAUCUCUCUAAUUCUUCUUUUUCUUGUCAUAUGGCACCUAUAACCACAAUAAGGAGAUCGAAUUAAAGAUAAACUCUUAUGAUCCAAUAAUGCUACUACUAUACAACCGCGAAGGUAUAGAAUCAGGCCCUCACCCAACACCUCCAUCCUGGUCAUCAAAUUAUUAGCCAAAGGCAAAAGCUAUUCUCUUACUCUUUCUAUUGAAAUAUCCAAAAUAGUCUACAUUGACUUGUAAGGAUAACAAUGCACAACAUGUAUGCAAUUACAAAAUCCUAACAUUGUAGUGAGGUAUAAUGAGAUGUUGUGCAUAUCUAUUUGCUUGAUUAUCUUUAAAGGAUCUAAAAGUUGGCUUCCAGUUGUUUUUUAAACAACUUUCAGUGAACUGUCCAAUUAGAGAAAUGAUCAGAUCAAGCAUGUCAUCAUGCUACGUACACGCAACACCUAAACCAAACACAAUAAUCCACCAAUGAGCAUCCUAAACCAAAACAUAACGCAAAUUAACAGCAAAAUAGUUUGAAAAUAAAACCCACAGGGAUUCAAGUUAUGACAUUCGACAAACUUAUCGUGUCUUCAAAUUAUUGUUUCACAUAAAUUUAGUUUCAAAUACAACUCAUUUGCCAAACUUAGUAUGAACCGAUGAUUAGCUCAUAUCAUGCAUAUUAUUGGCUAGAACUGUUGGACAAACAUGAAGCAAAUAAUCGGCCAACAUUCAAACAUUCAUAGUCAUGCUAAAUAAGACUUAUCAGAACCCAGUAUGGAAAAAGAUUGAAAUAUCAAAUGCUUUUUCCCGAAAAGAGUAAAUUCUUAAAGAUCGUACCUUAAAACCAUCCAACCUGGAGGCCUCAGAAUCCACCACACAAAAAACUCCAAUUGGCUGAUCAAGAAAUUGCUCAAUAAGACACCAACUUGAACUUGGGAAUACAAAUUGGUAAUACACAAUCAGAAAGCAUAAGCAAAAACGCUUUUGGGCUCCACCUGAACUCGAUGAGGUCGCCAGAAGCUCAAGAACACUAUCGCCAGAAAACUUCAACGGGAACCCAGAAAUAUGCAGAAAAAUAAAGAAAUAGGAUUAGGGCUCUAACACGGAAAUUGAAGCUCAAGGAAGAGUGAAAACGAGAGGGAAGUGAUGGGGUUUACCUUCACCAAGCAUGGGCUCGCCGGAGAGAAAGAGAUUCGGCCAUAAAUCAUAUUUGGGGGUUAGAGUUUGGACUUCAAUCUAAAAAGUCUAUGGUUCUAAGUCGAAUUGGUGGGUAGCUAGGGGAAGGUGGAGAAGAGGAAGAUGAACAUUUUGGUGAUGAUCUUGCGGCAUGCGGUGGCCGGAAACAGCUACGCCAUGCCAGAGAUGGCGGAGGCAGGCGGAGAGGGAGAGAGAGCGGUCUGGGCUCGAGUUUGGGUUCUGACCAAAAUCAACAUGUAAUUACAGGUCUCUUCCCUUUUAUACUUGAUGGGAUCUUUAUUAAUUUUCUUUCGCAACAAAAAAAAAUGUGGGAAGUUUAAGUUUUGGUGAAAAAAUUGAGCGGGAGCUGAAAAGAAAAAUUCGAGUUUGAGGUGUAGUCAGCUCACACCAAUUACGGCGUGCAACUAUUGCACGCAGUAAAUACCUUAUACUUAUUAACGGCGCGCAAUGAAUGAAUGUCAUAAAUACAUCUUUAUUUACGGCGUGCUUUUAUUGUAAGCCGUAAAUAACUCGAGCCACAAUCUCAAUUACGGCACACUUCCGAAGCACACCAUAAAUAACUCUACAUAACAUUAUAUUUAUGGCAUGCUAUAAAUGCACGCCAUAAAUGACCCAUUUUUACGGCACGCAUUGACGUACGCCAUAAAUUUUAGGCGGUAAAAGCCCUGAAUUCUUGUAAUGCUUGGAAAACAGAUUUGGAGUUAAAGAAGAAGCUCUCUCCAGUAUCCAAUCUUUCCAAGUAAGAGAAGGGUGAGGAAAAGAGAAGGGAGGCUUACCAAAAAUGUAUUUCAAGAGAAAACAAGUGCAAAAGAGAUGAUCAAAGGACUCCACAGAUUGUUGACAAACAACACAGUUUAAAUCCCCAGUAAAUCCCUUCUGAUUUAAAGCCGACCUGGUUGGGAGAAGAUUAUGCACUGCUCGCCAUCCAAAAAUAGUGACCUUAUUAGGCACUUUAGCUUUCCAGAAUGCUUUUCAAAUUGGUAAAUAAGGAUCAACAUUUGAGCCAGUUGCAAUACAUAUACCAAGAUACAUGUUUCUAGCUACAAUAUAUGCUGAUUUCACAAAGAGAAAGCCUUUCUUGUCGAAUUUCCAAGAGAGUUUGUUCUAUGAAAAUCUUCUACUGAGGGGAAUAGCAAGAACUACAUCAGCCACUUCAGGGGGAAAGCACAUUCGGACAACAUGUAAAUGCCAAGACCAUGAAGACUCAUCAAUUAAAUCUGAUACUAGCUCAAAAAUAGUACGCUCAGGUUUAGAUAGUGAGGAGGCCGAAAAACCUGAAAUCCAGUCCGCAGUCCAGAUAUUGACUGAAGAACCAUUACCAAUGCACCAUUGAAGGCCAGCUUGUAGAACAUGCCAGCCUUCCAUGAUACUUCUCCAUGCAUAUGAAGGUCUUUCACCCAUAUCGGCUUCAAGAAAAGAGGUGUGUGGAUGAUAGAUGGCUUUGAAGAGUUGAGCAGCUAAGGAGUUCGGAUUUGUAAGAAGCCUCCAACCUUGCUUAGCUAACAUAGCUAGGUUAUGUGAAAACAAAUGUUUAAACCCCAUCCCACCUUGAUCUUUGGGAAGACACAUCUGAUCCCAAGACCGCUAAUGAAUUUUCUUUUUUUUUUCUGCAGUACUUCCCUAGAAAAACUCACAACAAAGUUGUUGAAGAUCCUCACAGAGAGUCUUGGGAAGAGCAUAACAGUUCAUCACAUAAUUCGGAAAAGGCUAACCAACUACCUUGAUUAAAAGUUCUUUACCUCCUAAACUGAGAAGCUUCUCUCUCCAACUGAUAAGCUUCUUACUUAACUUUUCCUUAAGAAAAUUAAAUAUGGCUGUCUUAUUUUGUCCAACUUGAAUAGGGAGGCCUAAGUAAAGACCAUGCUCCUCUACACAUUCAACCCCCAGAAUGGAAGCUAAUAUAUUCUUCUUCUCAGGUUGCACAUUGCCGCUGAAAACGACAUUUGAUUUCUACAGAUUAAUAUGUUGACCAGAUGCCCUUGCAUAGGUAGACAAAAUAUGUUUAUAAGCUUGACAUUCUUAUAUAGAAGCUUCACCAAAGAGAAAGCUAUCGUCUGUAAAAAGUAAGUGGUGAAUGGUGGGGGCUGUAGGAGAAACCGAAAUCCUUGGAUUAAACCCUGCCUCUAAGAUGCAGAUAUAUAGGAGGACAGUCCUUCUGCAGCCAAAAUGAAUAGAUAUGGAGAUAGAGGAUCGCCUUGACGAAUCCCUCUAGUAGGUAAGAUAAAACCAGUAGGAGUACCAUAUAUCAGAAUUGAGUAACUAACCAAUUUAACUGUCGCCAAGACAAUGUUAACCCAGGUGUGGCAAAAGCCCAGCUUCAGAAGGAUUACUUCCAAAAAAACUCCACUCUAACGUAUCAUAGGCCUUUGAAAUAUCAAGUUUCAAUGAGAAGAAACCUUGUAACUGCCGGCGAAGCUUUUUCAUGAAACGAGCAAUUUCAGUAGCUACUAGAGUAUUAUCCGAGAUUAAGCGACCCGAUACGAAUGCGCUUUGAAGAGGAGAGAUCACUUGUGGGAGGAUGUGUUUCAGUCUGUUUGCAUAGGUGAUCUUUAUUCGUUAAUCCAACUUUUGAACGGUUAAGAUUAUGAUUUAUAUUGCCGAAAGUGUGUAAAUAACAGAGAGUCCGAACGCACACGUACAUACUAGUCCGAACGCAAGUAUUUUCCGUGAAGAAUUAAAACAGUUUUCUGUUUGGUGAAUGUUACUUUUAAAACUGGUAUCAAAACAUAAAGUACCAUUUUUUGUGUUUUUAUUGACAACAAUUUCUAAAAGCAACCUCAAGGCUGUUUUCCACUUAUUUGUAAUUUUCAAAUAAAGAUGCUUCUGUUUAGUUUACCAAACACAAUAAAAUUUAGAAGUUUAGAUAAAAACUUAUUUUUUUUAAAAGCGAAGCUGUACCAAACUAAGUCUUAGAGUACUUUUUAGUUUCGAUUGUUCAAUAUUAGUGGUGAUGUUGUAUGAAGGGUGCGAUUCAUCUAUGGAUUUAAGUGGCCUUUGAACAUGUCUCUUGCAACAGGAUAUAUGGCAUUCAAGUUACAGCCGUGGCGAAUGGUUUGGGAUGGGUGAUGAUAUCAUAAUUAUUUCUUGCUUCCUAUUAGUUAUAAACUAUGUUAUCUACAUUUCAAAAAACUAAUAAAAAAAAAAAAAAUAAGUCAUCAAAGUGAUAAUAUUAGUUUUCAAAGUUGUAAAUGAGUCCUUAAAGUUGUAAAUAUUAUUAGUUACCACAUGAGUCCUUAAAGUAAUAAUACUAAUCCUUAAAGUAUUAUUCAUGUAUUCCCUAUUAUAAGAGACGAUAAGUGUGCUUCUACCCUCCCAUAUACUUGGACACCAACUGUUUCCAGAGAGAUAUCGAGUACGACUUGUAAUCGGUCGAAAAUAGGAAAAACUUCUGGUUUCGAAAAGGACGGAAAGAAGAAACGAAAGUGGUCCGCUUGUGAAGACCAGAUCCUCAGUGACUACGUCAAGAAGCACGGUCCAGGCAAAUGGGGCAAAAUAGCAAAAGAGAUUGGCAAGUUCAUACCUUCAUAUUUACUUUCGACAUAC